AAUUAGGUGCGAUUGGUCGGGCUUUGUGAUCUUUGCUUUGCGUUGCGGGUUUGCUUUCGUGAAUUCGUGUUCGGGUCAAAUUUUGGGAUUCUUGUGGUUGAUUUAGUACGGAGUUGGUGAGUCCUUUGUUGAGGUUCGAUUCGAGGUUCUUCGGCAUGGUUUCUGUCCUUUCGUUGAAGCAUUAUUGAAUUUCGAAACCUUCGAAUCGAGGUCUAAUUCUCUUCCUUCUCUUCUUUAUUUCGUUAUUUGUCGUGUUCUAUGCUUUGAAUUGAAUCCGGUGUGUUGGUUGAUCCGUGGUGAUGUGAAUUAUUGUUUGUUUUGAUUUGGUGUUUGAUUUCCUUGAUUAUGGAUUAAUUAUAAGGUGUGUGAUGAAAUAAUAUCUCAUGGAGGAUUAAAAUUGAUUAUUUGGGGAAUGGGAAUCGAAAAUUAAUAAAAGUGAAUAUUAUAGUAUUUUGAUUCAUUGUUGAUGUUGAACGUGAUAUGUCAUCGAGCGGGUAGGCAAGCACUAGGCUCGGGUAGGCAAAAUUUAGGAUUGGUGGAUUGUUUGAAAUAUGUGUUGGAAUGGUUUUGUUUUAUCGCAUUUAAUUCAAUUAUACUCAUUUGGCCGGGGAAUGCCCCGAAUGUAUCAUGUACGUAAAGAAGUUUCAUGACGAAGGCCCAAGGCAUCGGGUAAAGCACGAGAGCAGUUAGGAUUAGUGUACGUUGGAUAGGGUUUAUUCUCGCAUUUUUUUCUAUUUUGGACUGUAUAACUCGGACUGGACAUUAUAUUUUUUAUUCAUUUUGUUUUGUUUGUUGUUUGAUUGCUUUACGUGUUUUGUGUGGUUUAUACAUACGUAGUAUCAAAUUAGCCGAUAUGUUCCACCAAGCGACAGUGGUCAAACUACGGGAUCGAGGGGUGCCUAACACCUUCCCCUCGGUCAACAGAAUUCCUUAGUCGGAAUCUCUGUUUGCAGAUCAGUUUAAAAGAGUCAAAAUUGUUUUCGAAAAAAGAUUUUCAACGGUGACUUGGCAUACCAGAUUAUGCCAAGUGGUGACUCUGAGUUUAAAUAUAAAUAAUCCUUUUUGAAACAAAAUUUUUAUUUUUUGUCACUUUAAUAAAAGCCCUUUCGAAACUUAAAAUUGAAUCUUUUUGGGGUUAGAAAAAGGGGUGUGACAGCUCUGGCGACUCUGCUGGGGAACUUGUUUAGAAUUCGAGCUUAUUUUGGAGUCGUAUUGGCUUUGUUUGGCACUAUAGGUGCAUAAACAUUUUUUGUGUGUGUUGUUUUGUGUUAUUGUUUUAUCAUUAUGGAAUGUUUUUGUGCUCUUUGUGUACAGUAUUUAUCCUAUGUGUUACUACUUUUAUAUCUGGCAUUAUGUGUCUACCCCCGGCCUUCUUUCUGCAACAAGUCCGUAGUAUACGUGUUGUACACGACCUCUAGUUGAGUCACCCUUAUUUUAGGGGGGAGCCGUCGGUGUUAUGGAGUAGGUGGAAAGCUGUCGCAGCCACUAUCGACCAUAUGCUCCCCCGAACAGCCUUGUUGGUGAACCCCAACGUAGGUCAGCCUUUAGGUCAUGCUUAUGUGCAUCAUAUUGAGACCUAGAGGGGCCUACUUGGUCCUUUGUAGGAGACUCACCUCUAAAGCAUCCCUACAUGCUAAAUGUUGCAUCUUUGAGGAUAACGUGGUCAUUUGACGGACUGAUUUGGGAAAAACAUGUGUUAGAAGUAAAGUGUGUGGGUAAUGAAAAAAACAAGGAAAAAAAAAGGUUUCGUAUUUUUUAGAGUUUUUUAUGGCUUUCAUUUUUCACAAUUCCAAAAUUCAAAAGGAUUUUUUUUACCUUUCGCAUUCAUUUUCUCAAAAACAUCAAAAAGAUUUUCCUUUGUCUCGUUUAGCAUGCAUUCACAAUUCAAAAACUUCAAAAAGAUUUUUUUCAUUCAUAGGAUGUGUUUAUAAAAGAAAAAUGCAAAAAAAAAAAGAUGUUAGAAAUUUUUUACAUUUCGUAUAAUGAAAAUACCAAAAAGAUUUUUCUUUCAUAGUUGAUGUCAUUUUUCUGUGAAGUAUCAAAAUGAAAACUCAAAAGAUUUUAUUAACAUGGUUCAUCGUCUGUCUUUGGUCGUAUCUCUUAAGUCAGGGUCUAGCCUGUUAUUUAAUUGUUAAUUGUCCAAUCUGGACGAACUACGCACCCAUGAUUCUCCUCUUUCGGGAUGCGAGAUACGUAGGCAACCUAUUGUGGGUUCGGGAAUCUAAAAUAUUUUUAUUCACUCUUCAUUUAGAGUAGGUGUUUCAUAUACAUCUUCAAGAGAAAACACAAAAAGAUUUUCCUUUAAUAGGUUCAAGUUUCAUUUUUGCAUGAAAUUCAAAAUUGAAAACCCAAAAAGAGUUUCUUUGGUAAAUAUAGGUUUCACUUUGUUUAGGGAUGUUAAGCCUAAAAAAUGCAAAAAUAAUAAUAUUUUAGUCAAUUCUUUUGACAAUUUGUUAUUUUCUUUUCUUCUUAAAGUUUCAAGAAAAAAGAAAAAAAAAAAGAGGACAAAGAGUUCAAUUGGCCAUUUUGGCACGGCUUUACGAACUACGCACACCUGAUUCUCCUCUCUCGGGAGUGAGAUACGUAGGCACCCUUCUUGGGUUCGGUGAUUUUUUUUUUUUAAAAAAGAGGUUUUGGAAAAGUGUUGAACUCUAACACAUUUGUUGUUUUAUGUUGAGUCAGUUUAAGGUGGUUGGUUUGUGGCAUUCUGGCUGGUCCUUCACAUGAGGUAGUGGUAAGGUCUGCCUACGCUCUACUCUCUCCAAGUUCAAAUCAGAGGCACUAUAUUUUUAUCCUUUGACAUUCUAAGUGAAAAUUCUAGAUCUGCCACUGUCGUCAGCCCAUUUUUAUAAAGUUUAUAAACUUUGAUGUUUUCUUUCUUUCCUUCUUUGUAUAGAACUUAUACCUACACAACACAACACAAUUUUCCGACGAAGGGUGUGCUGACUACCCUUUGAUAUAGGUGGUUCCGUCCAUGCUACAACUAAUCGAGUUACAAAACUGUAGUACAAAACUCGUGGCUUCUGCUGGACGAAUUCAAGAAGCGCAAGAAUACCUAGGAAACAAAGAUAUGGAGGUUCGUUGUUACAAUGAUCCAUGUGAACACAAUCAGUGGCGUACACAGAACUUCCUGUUGUGAACCCGGCUAUCAAAGAUAAUACUUACGAGCCAGAUAAUUGGACAGAGGUUGGCAAAGCUAUUGGGUCAGGGUCUAAACCGCGAAGAAGCCGAAGAAUUAGUGUAACGCCCCACAAUUCGGGCUACAAUAUCGACCAUGAUUUCGUUGCGUUGUUAAUCCCGAAGCCAUAAAAUCCUACGCCAAUAUGGCAUGUUAAUUAUCAUGUGGCAUGUGCAAUCCACUCAAGCUUGAAUUUAGACCAUAGAGGUCCUACAACUCAGGACGAGUCGAAACUAUUUUGAUCGACUAAGUUUUAGUGGACGUUGUAAAGUGUGUUAGCUUCCUUCGACCAUAACUCUCUGUAUAUGUCGAAUUAGGGAACCUACUAUUUGUCAAAUGAUAGGUAUUCGAGUUAUAUUUCCAACGAUACCAAUUUGGCUAAAAUUCGACACCCGAGCAAGAAGUUAUGACCUUUCAAAGUGAUAAGCGACGCCUAACCAAUCGCCCAUGGCCACUGGAAAGCAUAGGCAAUAGCCUAGGCGGAGCCUAUGUGAACAUAGACGAUAGCCUAGGCGGCGCCUAUGUAAACAUAGGUGAUAGCCUAGGCGGCGCCUAUGUGAACAUAGGCAAUGGGAUGGGCGGCGCCUAUGUAAGGAAUUCUAGUGAUUUAAACACUCCGUAUUGAGGACAAAGUGAUCCUUUUCCAUCCUUACUUAGCCCUAAAACACAAGAUUUAGUUCCAAGGACCCCAAAAUACAUAUUCUUUCAGCAAUAGUGCUCAAGAUUCUCCUUAGGGUUUCAAAAAUAAAAACCCAAAUAGUUCAAGAUUUGACCGUAGGUUUUCAAAGAUAAUUACAUAUUCGGAAUCACCAAUCCGCAAGCUUCAAGAAACAUUUAUUAUCCUUGGAAAUAGAGGUACGUGGGGUUAUCCNNNNNNNNNNNNNNNNNNNNNNNNNNNNNNNNNNNNNNNNNNNNNNNNNNNNNNNNNNNNNNNNNNNNNNNNNNNNNNNNNNNNNNNNNNNNNNNNNNNNNNNNNNNNNNNNNNNNNNNNNNNNNNNNNNNNNNNNNNNNNNNNNNNNNNNNNNNNNNNNNNNNNNNNNNNNNNNNNNNNNNNNNNNNNNNNNNNNNNNNNNNNNNNNNNNNNNNNNNNNNNNNNNNNNNNNNNNNNNNNNNNNNNNNNNNNNNNNNNNNNNNNNNNNNNNNNNNNNNNNNNNNNNNNNNNNNNNNNNNNNNNNNNNNNNNNNNNNNNNNNNNNNNNNNNNNNNNNNNNNNNNNNNNNNNNNNNNNNNNNNNNNNNNNNNNNNNNNNNNNNNNNNNNNNNNNNNNNNNNNNNNNNNNNNNNNNNNNNNNNNNNNNNNNNNNNNNNUGUACUUGACUUCAUGUCAUUCCCAAAUUGGGACUAUAGGUAGGAGCCCGAGCCAAGUGAUCUUGGGCACUAUCAUUGGGUCGAGACACCAUGUUGUGUGAUCUUGUGUGUCUCUCCCUCACUUAUACUCUAAUCUCGGCGGCAACCGAAGUUUGACAAUUGGUGUAAAUUAUGCAAGGUAUUCCACCUAGCUCAGUUGCAUUUCAUUACUGUUGAGAAAAAACUAUUGCAUUACACCCAUGUGCUUUAAAAUAAUUUGAUACGAAAUUGCUUUAUAAUGGCUCUCAACUAUACUUUGUAAAAAUAUUAUGUUUUGUUUUGAUAUCUCUGCGUGCCAGUACUUUUGUGUUGAACCCCUCCCCUCUCCAACCUCUCAGAUUCAGAGGCCCAGUCUAGGGGUCAAGAGAAUCAGUAAAACUUUCAGACAGAGUUGCAAAGACAAGUGGCGAGCCUUCUAUGUUUCGGAAGGUCUUACGUCCUGCAGUCCUUUUUAUCUUAUAUUAGUUUUGGGUCUGCUGGGCCUUGUACCAGUUUUCAGAUAGUUACUUAUUUCAGUCAUGUAGUAGAGAUUUCGCAGACGAUUUUUGAGAUGUUGAUUGAGAUUGUGGGACAUUAUUCCCCAUUAUUAUUUUCAUAUGAUUCUUGACCAUGUUUCCGUUAUAUUGUGUUUCUUCCGCAUUACUUUGAUCAUAUGAAUUAGGUGCAUGAUUACCCGACAGAUAGGGGUGUUUCGGGCCUCAAUGGUUUGAAAUGCUCGUCACGGCCAGACCCUAGUUCAGGUCGUGACAAACUUGGUAUCAAAGCAUGGUUCAUGGUCCCAGGGUGUCUGCAAAAUCGCGUCGGGUAGAGUCUUGUUUAUGGGUGUGUAGCGCGCCACAUUUAUAAGCAGGAGGCUGCUAGGCGUUUUGGAAAUAUUUCCCUUCUUUGUGAUUUAGUUCGUGCUUCAGAGUCUGAACUGUCCCCUAAUCAAUGAUCACUUGUCGUAUCGUCGAUCAGAAUGCUCAGGCAGAUGAGGUCCGUCCCACCCAUGAGAUGCGGACCCGUAAUAGGGCUCACACUCUAGAAUUUGUCCCUACUCCGGGAGUCCCUCUAGUCCCGACCAGUCCACCUCGGGCUCCGCAGACUAAUGUCAACCGUCCCCCAGCUGCUCAGGAAGAUAUUUCAAAUGCGAAAUUCAGACGGUCUAUUCAUAUGCUGACACAGUUGGUAGCUAACCAAGAUCAACGANNNNNNNNNNNNNNNNNNNNNNNNNNNNNNNNNNNNNNNNNNNNNNNNNNNNNNNNNNNNNNNNAAGAUGAACCCACCUAAGUUCACUGGCACCAAAGUGGAGGAAGAUCCACAGGAGUUCGUGGAUGAGAUGGAAAAGAUCUUUAAGGUGAUGCAUGUGGAUGAGGUUGAAGGGGUGGAGUUAGCAACCUAUCAGCUCAAGGACGUUGCUAGUCGGUGGUAUGCCGACUGGGAAGAUGAAAAAGGUUAAAGUGCUGAGCCCACAAUUUGGGGCGAAUUUGUGUAAGCCUUCCUUGAUCGAUUCUUUCCUCUGGAGUUGAGAGAGGCCAAAGCAGAAGAGUUUAUGAAUCUGAAGUAGGGCAGUAUGAGUGUCCAGGAGUACACUUUGAAGUUUAAUAAACUAGCCCGCUAUGCACCAGAGUUGACUAGUAAUAUGAGAGCCUAAAUGAGGAAAUUUGCAUCGGGCCUUGCUGAUGACCUGGUACUUGAGUGCCAGGGGGCUAUGUUGAAUAAGGAGUUAGACUUUGCUCGACUGACCGUUCAUAUACAUCAAGUGGAAGGGAAGAAGAAAAAGUUUGUAAAAUCUAGAGAGAAAGACAGACAGGCUAAGAGAGCUAGAUCUGCGGACCAGCACCAGAGUCAGCUGCAGAGUAGUAACUGGGGUAAUAAUUGGUCGAAGAAGAAGAAGUUUUGGAAUAAUGCACAGUCAGCAGCCAGCGCCCCAGCAACCAAACCACCGACAGACAGACAAACUCAGAGUUUUCAGACUCCUUAUGGAUCCAAAGAUCUAGGUACACAUUCUCAAGGCAGUAUGGCCCAGCAGCGUCGUACUUGUCCGCGGUGUGAGGUUUGAGGAAGGAAUCAUCUAGGGAAGUGCUGGUUUGAGGGGAGAAACUGUUAUACUUGUGGUAAAGUGGGUCACCUUCAAAGAGAUUGUCCAUCUGCUGGAAUAAAUGCGGGGGGAGGGGGGGGCUAAGUCCUAAGCCGCCUCCACAGCUCUUUUUCCUAAGGGUGCCCCUUCAGCUGAAUGAGGGUCUAGUGAAAAAUACUCUCGAUCUCACAAUAGGCGAGGGUAGAUCUACACACACCCUGACGUUUUCAGGCCCCACUUAUGAGAUCAUGGUACUAUUGUUGUUGUUUUAUGUAGUGUUUGAACGAGGGUCUAGCAGAAAACAUUCUUUUUAUCUCUCACAAAGCGAGGGUAGAUUUACGUACACCCUGCCGUUUUCAGACUCACUCAUGAGAUCACGGUACUGUUGUUGGUGUUGGUGUUUUAUGCGGUGCUUAAAUGAGGGUCUAACGGAAAAUAGUCUCUUGUGCUUCCUAAUUCCAUGAAGUCCUUGGAGCAUGUGCAAUAACAAGCUAGUGUGAACGGCUGAAAAACAAUUGUUGCACAAGCAGGCUUGAAAAUCUCUCUUUCGCCUCUCCUCCCUUUCUCAAUUCUGAUUGAUUAGCUUCUUCGUUCACGCAAGCUACGGUCUAACGAUCCCCUUGUUGUGUUGCUAGUGGAAAAUAGUCUCCCGUGCUUCCUUAGUCCGUGAAGUCCGUGUAGCAUGUGCGAUAACAAGCUAGCGCGCAACGGUUGAAAAGCCGUUGUUGCUUGCUGCUUGCAGGAUCAAAAAUCGUCAAAAACACACCUAAAGUAUCUUGAUUUUUCGAUUUUUUUACCUAAAUUAUCAGGUGCGUAAAUUUCCUACAUGAACUAUCACCACCUUCCUUUUAAGUUAAUAUGGACUAGAGGGAGUAUUAAUUAGCGAAAAAAUAAUAACUUUUAUCGAUUCAACUGAACUCAGUAUUUUUACACAACAUGAAUGCAUAUGUGAAAAGUCACACUUCAAGUUGUAAUAAAUAUCAAGUUAUGAAACUUAAAAUGUGAAAAGCACAAUGAAUUCAAUACUGAAAACUUUUGAAAUUGAACUCAUCGAGUUUAGAUUCUCAAUCUGCCUUUAUACCUGCCUCCGAGUCUAGCCGAGCCCAUCGCAUAUGAAGUCUACUCAUCGAACAUACUCAUAAAUCCACCAAGAAAUCCAGCACCAUUGCACUCACCACAUAACAUGCUUUUUUUACCUCUGCAUUUAAAAAAAUAAAUAAAUAAAAAAUCGAACAUGAGACCAACAACGAGAACAUACCCUGUGUAAUUGCACAAGUGGGGUUCGGGAAUACAAUGUAUGCAGAUCUUACCUAAAAACAACAACAACAUACCCGUGUAAUCCCACAAGUGAGGUCCGGGGAUAGAGUGUAUGCAGAUCUUACCUAACAACAACAUACCCCUAACGACAGCAACGACAUACCUCGUGUAAUCCCACAAUUGGGGGUUAUAGAAUAUAUGCAGAUCUUACCUAACAACAACAACGUACCCCGUGUAAUCCCACAAGUGGGGUUCGGGGAUAGAGUGUAUGCAGAUCUUACCUAACAACAACAACAAUAUUGUCACGACCCGAACCGGGGCCCUAGCCGUGACGAGUAUCCCGAACCAUGAAGUCUCGAAACACCCCUGUCUGUCUGGUAAUCAUGCACAUAAUUCAUAUGAUCAAAGUAAUGCGGAAGAAACACAAUAAUACGAAAACAUAGUCAUAAAUAUGAAAAAGAACAAUAAUGGAGAAAUAAAGUUCCCACAACAUGAAUCAACCUCUAAACAACCGUCUGCGAAAAUCUCUAACAAAUGACUGAGUCAAGUAACUGUAUAUAAAUUGGGACAAGGCCCCCAGUAGACCCCAAAACUUAAAAUAAGAUAAAGGACUGCAGGACAUAAGGCCUUCCGAAAUAUAGAAAGCUCACCACUUGUCUCUUCAACUCUAUCUGAAAGAUCUACUGAUUCUCUUGACCCCUAAACUGAGCCUCCGAACCUGAGAGUUGGGAGGGGAGGGGGUCAGCACAAAAGUACUGGCACGCAGAGAUAUCAAAACAAAACAUAAUAUUUUUACAAAAUAUAGUUGAGAGUCAUUAUAAAGCAGUUUCAUAUCAAGUCAUUUGAAAACACAUGGGCAAAAUGUAAUAGUUUUCAACAGCAAUGUAAUCCAGCUGAGCGAGGUGGAAUACCCUACAUAUAACAUUUACACCAAUAGUCAAACCUCGGUUGCCGCCGAGAUUAGAGUAUAAGUGAGGGAGAGACACACAAGGCCACGAAGCAUGGUGUCUCAACCCAAUGGUAGUGCCCAAGAUCACUUAGCCCGGGCUCCUACCUAUAGUCCNNNNNNNNNNNNNNNNNNNNNNNNNNNNNNNNNNNNNNNNNNNNNNNNNNNNNNNNNNNNNNNNNNNNNNNNNNNNNNNNNNNNNNNNNNNNNNNNNNNNNNNNNNNNNNNNNNNNNNNNNNNNNNNNNNNNNNNNNNNNNNNNNNNNNNNNNNNNNNNNNNNNNNNNNNNNNNNNNNNNNNNNNNNNNNNNNNNNNNNNNNNNNNNNNNNNNNNNNNNNNNNNNNNNNNNNNNNNNNNNNNNNNNNNNNNNNNNNNNNNNNNNNNNNNNNNNNNNNNNNNNNNNNNNNNNNNNNNNNNNNNNNNNNNNNNNNNNNNNNNNNNNNNNNNNNNNNNNNNNNNNNNNNNNNNNNNNNNNNNNNNNNNNNNNNNNNNNNNNNNNNNNNNNNNNNNNNNNNNNNNNNNNNNNNNNNNNNNNNNNNNNNNNNNNNNNNNNNNNNNNNNNNNNNNNNNNNNNNNNNNNNNNNNNNNNNNNNNNNNNNNNNNNNNNNNNNNNNNNNNNNNNNNNNNNNNNNNNNNNNNNNNNNNNNNNNNNNNNNNNNNNNNNNUACCUCUAUUUCCGAAGAUACUAGAUGUUUCUUGAAGCUCGCGGAUUGGUGAUUCUGAAUAUGUAAUUAUCUUCGAAAACCUAUGGUCGAAUCUUGAACUAUUUGGGUUUUUAUUUUGAAAUCCUAAGGAGAGUUCUUGAGCAAUUUUGGGGAAAGUAUGUGUAUUAUGGUAUUUGAGGGAUUAAAUCCCGUGUUGGUGGUAUAUAUAGGGGUGGAGGAUGACCAAAAUACCCCUAAGGAACAAUUAAGGUCAAAUCUGUCCCUCAGUUGACAGUUUGAUAGGCUGGAGUAAAUCAAUUAUAACUUUUUACUCAUAUACUCAAAUUGGAUGAAACCAACUGCAUUUGAAAGAGGACUCAUAGAGAUUUCGUUUGAUAUAUUAUAGCUCACACAGUUCAUUAUAUACAGGGAGUUAUGAUCGUUUGAAGUUGACCCUGAAAUGCUGAAAACUGGGCAACAGGCUAUGCGUUUUGCUACUGUUUUGAAAUCCAAACGCAGCCUAAUGCGUUCCGAAACUUAUCCAAGAUGUACUAUGAGCUUGCCCGAUCGUAACGCAACUUGAAAAUCUAAAAACGGAUAUUGGGAAGGUUGAAAAGUUGUAUCCCGAAAAUUGUAAAAUGACUUUAAGUCCUCAUUACACUUAGAAAAAUUUUCAAGUUUUUAAGUCUAAGGGCACUCUAUUAAGGGCUAAUCCAUGCACGACUUUUACGGGGUGUUACAAACAUACCCCGUGUAAUCCAACAAGUGAGGUACGAGAUAGAGUGCAUGCAGAUCUUACCUAAUAACAACAACAUACCCCGUGUAAACCCACAAGUGGGAUCCGAGGAUAGAGUGUACGCAGAUCUUACCUAACAACAACAACAUACCCUGUGUAAUCAGUCCCACAAGUGGGGUUCGGGGAUAGAGUAUGCAUAUCUUACCUAACAACGACAACAACAUACUCCGUGUAACCAUAGACCCUCAGCUCAAGCGGGGUAUGGGGUAGAGUGUACGCAGACCUUACCCCUACCUUGGAAGGUAGAGAGGCUGUUCCUCAUAGACCCUCAGCUCAAGGAAAAGCAUAUCGAGAAAGAAAUAAGGGAAGUGAAGAAAUCAUAACAAAAUCCUAAAAGUGAAUGAAACCAAAGGACAAUAGCGCGCUAAUCGAAGUACAAGAGACAGUAGAUAGUAAUAGAAAUCAAAGGACAAGAAACUACGGGAGAAAUACACGACUAAGAGUAUGAAACCAUAAUCACCAAAGAGUACAAGUGAUAGUACAAGUACCUGCACAGACAACAUAGUCCACCGGCUUUAAACCGUCCGUUGAAAUGAUCGACGGAGUUAACCCCAGUUCCUUUACAUUGUGCGCACGCCACUGCACCUGAGAGCGAUACAGCGUAUAAGAAACAGAAAGUUCUGAACAAAAUCAAGUUGAAAUUUUACUAUUUCAGGUCUCGUCGAUUGUAUGUACUGACGUUUGAUGAUUCGAAAAUUUGAUACUGUAAUAGCAAAUUUAAGUAUGUAACAUGAUAAAGAACCAGUAAGACUGCAGCAUUAGCAAAUCCCUUGGAGCUAGACACUUUUCACUCAGACGCAUCGUAAUUCUCACAUAACUUUGACGAAUAUUUGAGAGACGUUCGUAAGAAAGGUGAUCUCUGAUCGAGCAGUCAACAUCAAGAGUCAAAUUACUUCUUGAUGCAUAUAUCAUUUCAAGAAAAAAAUCCAAACAGAUCGUAAAAUAUACAGAAAUGCACAGUUACAAUAUUAAGAAAUAUUAGUCACUUUGAAUACGGAGCAAUAGGAGAGUCUCAUUAAUGACAAGUCAGAAUUCAAAAUUCACCAAAUAUGCAUCAAUCACUUACCAUUUCCAUGAGGAUUGAACCACAUAAGGGAUUAUUGUACAUAGUGUUAUCCUGCCUUUUCUUCUGGAGGUUGUUUUCCACGGAUUGAACCCGUCAUUUCCUUUUUUUGGGGGGGGAUAUUUUGAGUUGUGUCUCUGCGGCGGUGUAGCCACGUGGCAAGUUUAUAAAAAAAUAAAAAGGGCAUCCUAAAGCUACCGCUAGGCGCGGUAUCUGGGAAAGAACCUCAACACAAGGGAGUAUUGUGAGCAGUCUUACCUUGCAUUUCUGCCAGAGGCUGUUUCCAAGGCAAGUUUAUGUACUGAUACAAAUAUAAAAUUUAGUUCUGACCCUGCCUCUAUUGACUACAGGUAAUGUUAGAAAUCGGGUAGAAAUAAAGAAAAUUAUAAGCAGAAAGAAAAUAAGAACACACAGAUUUACGGGAAAAUCAUUGCGGAAAAAACCACAAGCAGAGGCAGAGGAGGUUUCACUAUAAAAGGAGAGAAGUACAAUGUGGAGCGACGUAAUUUCUGAAUAACCAAAAUUGACCCACUAAUUGUACUUAUAUAAUAUUUGCAUAUAAAUAAGUUCUAAAUCCAAAAACAUAAAGGUCGGUCCGAUCCCGAAGCCCACCACUGACCCCAUUAAAAAUCACAGACAUGGAUCGCACCGCAAAACUUUCUGGGCCGAAUUAACAAAAUUUAGAUCACAACUCUAACAAUUUUCAAGCCAACAUUGUAACGACAAUAGCAUAAUGAGCCAAACUUCUAGCAAGGGGCAAAGUUCAACCUUCCUAUUUUGUUAUUAAUUACUUACAUAAUACUCUUCUGUUGAAAAGGUCGAUCUAUUUUGAUUUAUCAUGGAAUUUAAUAAAAUAAAAAAGACUUUUAAAUCUUGUGAUUUUAAAUUAAAAUUAUGUCAAAUGUACUUGUAGUGUUAAAUAUACCAUGUGGAAAGUUGGAAUAGUGUUACUAAAAAACUGAUCAUUCUUUUUCAAAUAGACUAAAUAUAAAACCAAAGUACUUUUUUUUUAAACGGAGGGAAUACUUUUUAAGAUGUUAUAUGUCCCACCGAAACAAAAAAUAAAAUAUUUUUUGUUUUGCAAAUAAAAGAAAGCCUCGAGUCAUGGCAUUACUCCAGACAAAAAGUUUGCCUUUUUUAAGAAAAAAACUACUCCACUAAUUGGCUCCUAAGUUGGAGAUUUAUUAUUUCUUUAUUGAUUAGUCCACAAUGUACUAGUUGCAGACAGCUAAUAUAAAUAAAAAAAAUUGUGAUUGAUACAACAAAUUGGCCAAGGUCUCUUUUUAAUAUAUCAAUGACGUAUAUUUCUACCUAAUUUCAUAAUUGAGAUUUGGGGAGUUAUUAUGUGGUUAAUUUUUGUUUUACAUAUAUGUUAUGUGGUGUUUUACGUGAUUAAUUCUUGUUCUACAUAGCGUUUUAUGUGUAUUAAGUCAUAUAUGAUGUGUGUGUCUACUUAUUCAACUUUAUACAAGUUUAAGUGUCGACUUGUAUGUACUCAAAAUUGGAGGUCAUACAUAUGAUUUGUUGUCAAGUUAAAAGGGCAAUGUUUAUGUAUUACGCCAAUCAAAUUAGUUCAUUACUAAAAGUUCAUUUCGGAAUAUAGCUAGAAGAAUUGAAGUUCAAGGAUUUCAUCAUAGUUUUUAUUGUUUAAACUUUAAAUUUUAUCGUUACAAUACUAUAUUUUAACAUUAUUUUUUGGCUUUCAAGGAAAUAUAAUUUCUCUAUAUUUUAAAUAAGACUGCGACUAUUUCUUGAUUUCUUUGAACUGUUUAUCUUUAGCAAAAAGUCUAUCGCAAACAUCAUUUCUACCUAUGAGAUAGCGGUAAGAUUUGCUUACGCUCUACAUUUUUUUUUUCAAAGUACACCUUUUUUAACAGAGACAAAGGACCAUUUAUGUUCAACAUUAUAUUACAGGGACCUAAGUGAACCUACUAUGUAAAGUUAAGGGCCGUUUUGGGCUGAUAAAUUCUGCAGAUAUCAUUUCUCAGCCACUCAAAUUUUAUUUGGUUAGGUACUCUAUCUUUUGUUCUUUAUACAUUUGUUUAUUGAUGCUCAUAAUAUUGUCAUUUCUUCUAUCCUUUUCUCAAAUAUCUCUUGCAGUGAUUUUGAAGCUGUCUAAUCUGCCAUUGAAAGGUUAGUUUCACUUAAUUACUCUCUCAUUUUAUUAAAGUUUCAGAGCAAAAACAACACUUGUAGUGGCUUAUCAAUGUAUAAUUUAGCUUUUUGCAAACAUAACGUUGAUUACGUGUUGUAUCCUUCAAAAAUUGAGCAUUUUUCUUAAGGAUCUGACACAGAUACGACAUCUUUUUAAAAGAGUCUUUAUAUUUUUUAGCUUUGAAAUUAGAGAAAUAACAGACAAGAGAAAGAGUUGGAGAGAGAAAAAGAUACUUCAAUUGUAUUGUAAAGGAAAUUAUUUUAUUAAUAACUCAAAACAUAUAUUUUUAUCUAAAUUUCUAACUAUACUUUAAUUUAAAUUGGGAUAACUAAUUCUUAUUCAACACCCAGCAACAUAGAAAACACUACCUAGGUAAGCAAAGUGGAGUUUUGAACCACAAUCUUGUUUGUGUACUGGGAGUUAAAUGAGCUAAAGCUACUGAGUUUGGGACUGAACUCACUGUUACCCUGUGAUAGCUAUGAUUAAGGCAAAUACAUUACCUGAUCUGAUUUAGUUUAUGCGUGCCUUUGUUGUUAAUCAACAAAUGAUACAGAAUCCAUGGCAGAAACAGAGAAUUCUUUAAUCAAGAAGAAGAAGAAGAACACUCAGAUUAAGAGGAAGUAGAAGCUAUAGUUUAGUAAGUCUUGAAAGAGUGUUUUAUACUAGUACAUGAAGGUAGUUUAUAUAGCAGUUAUAACUAACUUUUGUACUAGUUAGUUAACUAGCUGACUGGACUAAUUAACUAACAACAACUGACUCUUUAUAUGACAUCCACAGUCUUUUCUGCAAAUCUGUGUAUCUCGUUAUUUGUAAUACCAUUGACCUCUUGCAACCUGCAGCUUUCAGGUCAUAACCGCAAAGGAAAGAAACGAUAAUACAGUAGAUAUGGCUCAUGCAAAUGUGGCUUCUCUUAUGAGAACAAUAGAAUCACUCUUGACAUCCAAUUCACCAAUGCAAUCUCUAACCUGUGAUCACAGAGAUGAAAUUCGCUCUCUUCAUGAAAAAGUUAGUUCCCUGGAAGUAUUUGUCAAGAACUUUGAGAAAAACAAUGUUGCUGGGGAACUGACGGAUUUUGAAGUAGAGGUAAAAGAAGUUGCACGUGCUGCUGAAUACACAAUUCAACUGAGACUAACAGGAACUGUACUGAGAGAAAAUAAAAGCAUCAUAGGAAUCAUUGGCUCAAUAUUUUUCAAAGGAAUCUCGAAUAUAUGGACACGCCGAAAGUUUCAGAAAAGCCUUCAACAAUUAGCAAAGGACAUUGAUCAUGUCUGGAAAGAGUCAACAAAGAUUCAAGAUAAAGGCAAACAAGUAUCAGAGGAAUCAUUGGUUCAUGAUUUUUCAAGUUCAACAAACGAUAUUCUGAAUGUUAAGAGCAAUAUGGUUGGACGUGAUGAUCAAAAGGAACGCUUGUUAGAAGAUCUGACGGUAAGCUACUCCGGUGAACCCAAAGUCAUCCCGAUUGUCGGGAUGGGAGGCAUAGGUAAAACAACCUUAGCGAAAGAAGUUUACAAUCAUGAAUCAAUUCUACAACGUUUUGAUGUUCGUGCCUGGGCUACUAUAUCUCAACAGCACAACAUAAAGGAAAUUUUGCUGAGCCUUCUGCAAUCGACGAUCAAAAUGGAUGGCACGGUUAAGACGAAACUUGAACCAGAGCUAGCAGACAUGUUGCAAAAAAGUUUAAAGAGAAAGAGGUACUUAAUUGUCUUGGAUGAUAUCUGGGGUUGUGAAGUGUGGGAUGGCGUGAGACAGUGCUUUCCAACUGAAGACAAUGCAGGGAGUCGAAUACUGUUGACAACCCGUAACGAUGAAGUAGCUUGUUAUGCUGAUACAGAGAAUCUUUCUUUGCGGAUGAGCUUUAUGGAUCAAGAUAAGAGUUGGAGUCUUUUCAAAAGUGCAGCAUUUACAAAUGAAGCAUUACCAUCUGAGUUCGAGACUGUUGGGAAGCAAAUCGCAGAGAAAUGCCACGGGUUACCACUUACUAUUGUCGUGGUAGCUGGACUUCUCAAAUCUAAAAGGGCAAUAGCAGACUGGGAAAAUGUUGCUAAAGAUGUCAAGUCAUUCGUCACAAAUGAUCCUGACGAACAAUGUUCACGUGUGCUUGGGUUGAGUUACAAUCACUUGACAAGCGAUCUAAAAACAUGUCUUCUGCAUUUCGGAAUUUUUCCAGAAGACAUUGAUAUUCCAGUGAAGAGAUUGGUGAGAUCAUGGAUGGCUGAGGGGUUCCUGAAGUUGGAAAAUGAUUUGGAAGGAGAGGCUGAGAAGUGUUUGCAAGAGCUUGUCGAUAGAUGUCUCGUCCUCGUCUGCAAGAAAAGUCUAGAUGGAACAAAAAUUAGAUCAUGUAAGGUUCAUGAUCUAAUACAUGACAUGUGUGUGAGAGAAAUUCAAAGGGGAAACGUUCGUUCAAAAUUCCAAUCUAUUUGUAUUUCAACUGUUAUUCCUUAUAAAUUACGCAAAGUCUUGGACUUGAGUGAUGUGACGAUUGAUGUUUUCCCUGUAGAGAUACUAAGCCUCAUCUGGUUGAGGUACAUAUCAUUGUUCAUCGAUAGGAAGUUAUACAUACCUCCAGCAAUUUGUAGGUUGUGGAAUCUGCAGACAUUCAUUGUUCAAGGGACUAGUGGAACUUUUCCGAAGGAAAUUUGGGGACUAAUGCAAUUAAGGCAUCUCAAACUGCCCCAAUUUUAUCUGCCAAAUCCCCCAAGUGUAUCGGCUGGCAAAGGGAGUCACAUGGGUUUUUCAAACAUACAAACUAUUUCUUACUUGUCUCCACUUUGUUGCACGAAGGAGGUUAUUAUGGGGAUUCAGAAUGUCAAAGAAUUAGGGAUCUGUGGAUGUGAGACUGACUCUAAGAGUAUUCGAGAUUCUGGGCUUCUCAACCAUCUUGUCAAUCUGCAGCAACUUGAAACAUUGAGUUUUAUACAUUGCUUUGAUCUUUUUCCAGCAAGUGCAAAAGCUUUUCCAGCAACGCUCAAGAAGCUGAAGUUGGAAAGAACUUUCGUACAUUGGACGUACAUGGACAUCAUAGCUGAAUUGCCUAACCUUGAGGUGCUGAAGCUGAUGGAUUAUGCUUGUCGUGGAGAAGAAUGGCAUCCAAAUUUUACGGGAUUUACUGUAUUGAAGGUUUUGUUAAUUGAAAAAAAUUAUCUUAAGUACUGGAAAGCCACAAAUGACAAUUUUCCUGUUCUUGAGCGUCUCGUGAUUAAUUGUUGCUAUAAAUUGGAAGAGAUACCCAUUGAGUUUGCAGAUAUCCACUCACUACAACUGAUUGUGUUAGAUCGGUGUCCUCCCGCACUUGGGGAAUCUGCAGCACGAAUUCAACAAGAGCAAGAAGAGCUCGGAAACGACCCCGUGGAUGUUCGUAUCUCUCGUCCAUGUUAGUAUAUAUUUAUCAAGGUUACACUCAGUUUCUCAUUUCACAAGUCAAGUCAUGCACAAAAGUUAUUUAGCUUUGCCCCAUAUUCUUUCACAAAAAUAACUUUGACAAAAUUUAGUUAAAACUCUACUUAAAAUGUAAGUGAAAUUAACAAGAAUAUCUCUUAUAUUUGAGGGUAAUUCAAAAUGGCCCCUUAAAUAUAUUUUUGAGCAAUUUUCGUAUUUUAGUUUAAGCUUUGCUAAACGUGAGCACAUUUGGUCUGAUUGUUACUCCAUCAAUCAAUUGUUGUCCACUAUUGACUUGACACACAAGUUAAGAAAUAGUAAAUGAUAGCUAGGAUGGAUCAGUGGUUUGCUUAUAUGGACUUGGGUAAUCCUCACCUCUUGAGCUAGCUUUUGAGGUUGAGUUACGCUUAAGGUCCAUUCUUGACACUUUACCAUAUUAGCUUUUGAAUCUAAUACAUUUGGCCAUGAAAACUAAACUUUUUUGGAGUUGUAGUUGAUUUUAUAUUUCUAAUUUAUUAUGUUUCUUUGUUGUAGUGAUACCCGAGUAAGAAGGCUUGAGCUCAUCCCAAGUAUGGUGGGAUUCUUUGAGCAGCUUUUGGGAAAAAGAAAACAAGAGCAUGCAAUCGGUUUCUAUUCAAUAUAAUAUGGGGAGUUUGAUUCGAUAAUUUAUGUUGUGGGAACUGGAUGAUGAUUUCUCCUUCAUGGAGCAAUUUUUGACUUCUUCAACUAAGUGAUAUUCGAGAGAAGUAAUAGAGUAGCUCGUGUUCUUGAAUUGAUUUCUGUGAUCUAUUUAUUCAAAAGAACAAUUUAACCAAAAGACAUAAGUUCCCUCAACAUAUGAUUGACGUUCCAAGGACAGACAUUUCGUUUUGGGUGGCACGAGUAUGUAUAGUUCACUGUCCUGAGAAAAUUUGGGGACUAAUGCAAUUAAGGCAUCUCUAACUGGACGAAUUUGAUUUGCCAAAUCGCUCAAGCGCAUCUGUUGACAAAGGGAGACCACAUGAGUUUUUCAAAUGUACAAACUGUUUUCUUAAUUGUCUCCACGUUGUUGCACGAAAGAGGUUAUUUCUGGGAUUCAGCAACAACAACAACAAACCCAGUAUAUUCUCACAUAGUGAGGUUUGGGGAGGGUAAGAUGUACGCAGUCCAUACCCCUACCUCUAAAGAAGUACCUCUAAAGAAGUAGAAAUGUUGUUUCAAUUUUUGGGAUUCAGAACACUAAAAAAUUAGAACCACUAUCUAAAUUCAACAACAAAAAGACCUCGAAAACAACCUUGUGGAUGUUUGUAUCACACCACUAUCCAGAUGUGUGCAUCAGGCAUAAUACAUAAAUGAGCUCCUUAACUUGCCUUGGUAGGCAUCUAUGUCAUCCAAUUUUGAGUGUGCAUAUAAGUAAGUAGGCACUUAAACUUUGGUUAAGUUGAACAAGUGGACACCCGUUUCUUACAUGACAAAUCAUGUGAGGUUCAUGCGUUUUGCAUGAAGAAUAACGUGAGAUUUUACGCAUGUAUGUACUUAUGCACAACCAAAAUUGGAGGGCAUAGAUGUCAAUUGGAGCCAAGUUAAAGGGCGCAUUUAUGAAUAAUUCAUUAGUUAUGUUUUCGAGGCUUCUCACUUCAAUAUUAAGAAAUAUAAACAGUUUAUGAAAAAAAUUGAAUCUAUCACCUCCUAUUUACCUGGCAACAGCAUUGUAACGACGAUGGCAUAGUGAGUCAAACUUCUAGCACAGGGAUUAACAAAAUAAAAAACUUUCAAAUCUUGUGAUUUUAAGUUAAAGUUAUGUUAAAUGUACUAAAUUGUAGUUUAAUCUUAUGGUUUUAAACAUACCAUACCAUGUGGAAAGUUGGAAUAGUAUUGCCAAAAAUAUAAUCAUUUUUGUUUAAACAGACAUAAAAUGAAAGUAAAUCAGUUUUUUUUUUUUAAAACGGAGAAAGUAAUUGUUAAGUGGUUCUAUGUCCCACUGAAUAAAAAAAAUUAAAAUAUUUUUUGUUUUGUAAAUUAAAAAUAGUCUUGAUAAUUGAGUUAUAGCAUUACUCACUGUAUGAGUCAAAGAGACUUGCUUUUUUUAAGAAAAUAUACUCCACUACGUGGCUUCUAAGCUGGAGAUUUGUACUCCCUUCGUUUAAAAAAGAAUGACGCAGUUUGACUUUGUAUGAAGUUUAAGAAAAUAAAGAAACUUUUGAAUUUUAUAGUCCUAAAUUAAAGUUAUGUCAAAGGUACCAAAAUAUUCUUUAAUCUUGUGGUUUUAAACAUGUCAUAUGAAAAGUUGAAUUUAAAAUAUUAUAAAAAUAGGAAAGGAUCGUUUUUUUAAAAAUAAAUUAAAAAGAAAAGUAGGUGAUUCUAACGGAGGAGGUAUUUGUUUAUUGAUUAGUCCACAAAGUAUCAGUUGCAGACAGCUCCACAAAGUAUCAGUUGCAGACAGCUAAUAUAAAAAAAAGAAUUUGUGAUUGGUACAGGAAAUUGGCCAAGUUCUUUCUUUAAUAUAUGAGAUAUGAGAAAAGUCUAAGUAUAUGUAGAUAUAUUGUCUAUAAUCAUCUUUUAAUAACUUUCUAUCUCAAAAAUAUAAUUGAAGUUAUCAUCCCAAUUUAUCAUAAGUCGACACUUUGUUAUCUAUAAAAUUUAAUACCAUUUUAGUCACUCGGAGAUUUUGUAUGACAUAUUUUGUAACGCCCGGCAUUUCGGGCUACAAUAUAGACCAUGAUUUCGAUAUGUUGAUAAAUUCCGAAGCCAUAACAUCCUAUGCCAAUACGGCAUGUUAAUUAUUUGUGUAGCAUGUGAAUUCAUUCAAACUUGAAUUUAGACCAUAGAGGUCCUUCAACUCAAGGACGAGUUGAAACUAUUUCGAUCGACUAAGUUUUAGUGGAUGUUGUAAAUUGUGUCAGCUUCCAUCGACCAUAAAAUAUGUUGAAAUGCAUGUCAUGAAAUGUCUUGAAAUGCAUGUCAUGAAAUGUCUUAAACAUGUCAUGAUUUGGAUAUGGUUUUUGACUUUCAAAGAGAGGGUUGUUUUGUUCAUGUUGAAAUAUGUUGCAUAUGAUGAUUGAAUGAAGAGAAUGAUAUGAUACUGAUUGACUUGCAAGUCGGGUAUGACGAUACCCUACAGAGUAUGACAUGUGAUUGAUUUGAACAAAGUUUGAAUGCAUUGAUUUUACAUGAGAAUGGUGGAUGCCGGAAGUAGGCGUUUGAGUGAAAGGGCUCAUCGCUAGAAACCGUAGUUGCCGAUACGGGUCAUAUGAUAUUGUAUCCUAUAUGGGAGGAUAAUAAAAUAAUUGGGACAUCUCACAUGGGGGGAUUCUCUGCGGUAUACUCACAUGGGGGGAUUCUCUGCGGUAUACUCACAUGGGGGUAUACCGGCUCCAAAUCCUAGCGGCUACUUGGAUUGGAGGUUUGGCCGCCGAGCACCAGAGGCGGAUUCCACAUAACCGUGGAAUUACAAUUGUACGGAAUUUCAUCUAGCUCAAUCGCAUUACAUUGGUAUUGAAAACUAUUACAUUACGCCCAUGUGUUUUCAAAUAAUUUGAUAUGAAUUGUGUGCGUAAUUACCAGACAGGGGUGUUUUCGUGCCUCAUGGUUCGGAAUACUCGUCACGACCAGGGCCCGGCUCGGGUCGUGACAAACUUUGUAUCAAGCACGGUUCAUGAUCCCAGAGUGUCUGCGAAAUCGCGUCCGGUAGAGUCCUGUUUAUGGGUGUGUAGCGCGCCACACUUAUAAGCAGGAGGCUGCUAGGCGUUUAGAAAAUGUUUCCCUUCUUUGUGAUUUAGUUCGUGCUUCAGAUUCUGAACUGUCCCCUAAUCAAUGAUCACUUGUAUUUCAGAAACACAGUUAUGCCUCCACGUCGUAUCAUCGAUCAGAAUGCUCAGGCGGAUGAGGUCCGUCCCAUCCAUGGGAUGCGGACCCGUAACAGAGCUCACACUCUAGAACUUGCCCCUACUCCGGGAGUCCCUCCAGUCCCGACCAGUCCACCUCGGGCUCCGCGGACUAAUGUCAACCGUCCCCCAACUGCUCAAGGAGAUAUUUCAAAUGCAGAAUUUAGACGGUCUAUUCAUAUGCUGACACAGUUGGUAGCUAACCAGGCUCAACAAUUGGAAGACGUUGGGACUACAUCUGUUACGUCUGAGGCUACUAGGGUCGGACAUUUCAUGAAGAUGAACCCACCUAAGUUCACUGGCACCAAGGUGGAGGAAGAUCCACAGGAGUUCGUGGAUAAGAUGGAAAAGAUCUUUAAGGUAAUACAUGUGGAUGAGGUUGAAGGGGUGGAACUGGAAACUUAUCAGCUCAAGGAUGUUGCAAAUCAGUGGUAUGUCGACUGGGAGGAUGCAAAAGGUGAGAGUGCUGACCGCACAAUUUGGGGCGAAUUUGUGGAAACUUUCCUUGACCGAUUCUUUCUUCUGGAGUUGAGGGAGGCCAAGGCGGAAGAGUUUAUGAAUCUGAAGUAGGGCAGUAUGAGUGUCCAGGAGUACACUUUGAAGUUUAAUAAACUAGCCCUCUAUGCACCAUAGUUGACUAGUAAUAUGAGAGCCCGGAUGAGGAAAUUUGCAUCCGGCCUUUCUGAUAACCUGGUACUUGAGUGCCAGGGGGCUAUGUUGAACAAGGAGUUAGACUUUGCUCGCUGACCGUUCAUAUGCAGCAGAUAGAAGAGAAGAAAAAGAAAAUUUCAGAAAUAAGAGAGAAAGACAAGCAAUCAAAGAGAGCCAGAACCGCGGAUCAGAAUCACAGCCAGCCACAGAGCGGCAACUGGGGAAAUAGAUGGCAAAAGAAGAAGUCCUGGAGUAAUGCACAGUCUGCUACCAGUGCCCCAGCGCCUGGACCACCAGCAGACAGACGAUCUCAGAGUUUUCAGGCUCAUCAUAGAUCGAGAGCCCUAGAUACUCAGUCGCAGGGGAGUGUGGCCCAACAGCGUCGUACUUAUCUACAGUGUGAUAUUUGUGGGAGGAAUCACCCAGGGAAGUGUUUUUUUUAGGGGAAAAAUUACUAUACUUGUGGCAAAGUGGGACAUCUUCAGAAAGACUGCCCUUCUGCUGGAGGAAAUGCGGGAGGGACUAAGCCCCACGCCGCGUUCAUGGCUCCUCCUCAUAAGGGUGCCCCUUCAGCUGGCAGGAACAGUCGCAACCAGUUAUAUGCUUUGACCAACCGCCAGGAGGUGGAAGUUUCCCCAGAUGUUGUUACCGGUACGUUACAAAUCUUUUCCCAUGAUGUUUAUGUGUUACUUGAUCCCGGGUCUACUUUAUCUUAUGUGACCCCCUAUGUGGCUGUUGGUUUUGCGUUCAAGCCCGAAGUCAUUGAAGAACCCUUCACUGUUUCCACUCCUGAAGGUGAUUCUAUUGUUGCUAGAAGGGUUUAUAGAAAUUGUGUUGUGUCUAUUCUUAGUAGGGAUAUUAUGGCUGACCUUAUAGAACUUGAUAUGGUAGAUUUUGAUGCCAUCUUGGGAUGGACUGGCUCCAUUCGUGUUAUGCCACCCUUGAUUGCAGAACCCGAAAGGUCACUUUUUCUUUUUCACAUGAGACACCAAUUGUAUGGGCAGGGAGUUCUUUGAAACCUAGAGGUCACUUUAUCUCUUAUCUUAGAGCCUGAAAGCUUAUCUCCAAAGGUUGUAUGUACCAUCUAAUCCGAGUAAAAGACUCAAGAGUUGAAAAUCUUUCUUUUCAGUCAGUCUCUGUACUGAAUGAGUUUCUAGAAGUCUUUCCCGAAGAUCUCCCAGGGAUGCCACCUGAUAGGGAAAUAAAUUUUGGCAUUAAUGUGUUGCCAGACACCCGUCCUAUUUCUAUUCCGCCAUAUAGAAUGGAUUCCGCGGAACUAAAAGAGUUAAAAGAGCAGCUGGCAGACCUUUUAGAUAAGGGUUUUAUUCGCCCCAGUGUGUUCCCUUGGGGUGCACCUGUACUUUUCGUGCGAAAGAAAGACGGUUCUCUUCAUAUGUGCAUAGACUAUCGUCAGCUGAAUAAGGUCAUGAUUAAAAACAAGUAUCCUCUUCCUAGGAUUGAUGAUCUUUUUGACCAGCUUUAGGGUGCUAAGUGUUUUUCGAAAAUAGAUCUUCGUUCGGGUUAUCAUCAGUUGAAAUUUAGGGAGUCAGACAUUCCCAAGACAGCCUUCCAAACCCGGUAUGGUCACUACGAAUUUCUAGUCAUGUCCUUCGGGUUGACUAACGCCCCUGCAGCCUUCAUGGAUCUUAUGAAUAGAGUGUUCCGUCAGUUUCUUGACUUGUUCGUCAUUGUAUUUAUUGAUGAUAUUCUGAUCUAUUCUAAGAGUGAAGAGGAUCACGCCAAUCACCUCCAAAUUAUUCUUCAGACCCUUAAGGAUCAUCAGUUGUAUGCCAAAUUUUCUAAGUGUGAAUUCUGGUUAGAUGCUAUUGCUUUUCUGGGGCAUAUUGUGUCCAGUGACGGGAUAAAAGUAGAUCCCCAGAAAGUUGAAGCAGUGAGAAAAUGGUCCAGACCUACGACUCCAACCGAUAUUCGGAGCUUCUUAGGUUUGGCGGGGUAUUACAGAAGGUUCGUAGAGAGUUUUUCUUCCAUAGCUGCUCCGCUUACUAAACUAACUCAAAAAAAGAUUAAGUUUGUGUGGUUUGACUUGUGUGAAAACAGUUUUGAGAAGUUGAAGGACAAGCUGACUACUGCUCCUGUUUUGACCCUUCCCAGGGGUGUAGAUGAUUUUGUGGUUUAUUGUGAUGCGUCCCAUGUGGGAGUUGGUUGUGUAUNNNNNNNNNNNNNNNNNNNNNNNNNNNNNNNNNNNNNNNNNNNNNNNNNNNNNNNNNNNNNNNNNNNNNNNNNNNNNNNNNNNNNNNNNNNNNNNNNNNNNNNNNNNNNNNNNNNNNNNNNNNNNNNNNNNNNNNNNNNNNNNNNNNNNNNNNNNNNNNNNNNNNNNNNNNNNNNNNNNNNNNNNNNNNNNNNNNNNNNNNNNNNNNNNNNNNNNNNNNNNNNNNNNNNNNNNNNNNNNNNNNNNNNNNNNNNNNNNNNNNNNNNNNNNNNNNNNNNNNNNNNNNNNNNNNNNNNNNNNNNNNNNNNNNNNNNNNNNNNNNNNNNNNNNNNNNNNNNNNNNNNNNNNNNNNNNNNNNNNNNNNNCCCUCAGCAGGUUGUCUAUGGGCAGCCUUUCUCAUGUAGAAGAAGGAAAGAAAGAGAUGGUGAAGAAUAUUCACCGCCUUGCAAAUCUGGGAGUGCGACUCUUAGAUUCCGAAUAUGGAGGGGUGAUUGUUCAUGAGUUAGCUAAGUCAUACCUUUGUGCUGAAGUUAAGGAGAAGCAGGUUGAAGAUUCCAUCUUGAUGCAAAUCAAGAAAGAUGUAGGUCAACAAAAGGUUAUGCCGUUUAAAAUUGGUGGUGAUGGUAUUCUGAGAUUUCAGAGUAGGUUGUGCGUUCCGAAUGUUGAUGGGCUACGGGAAAAAAUCCUUAAUGAGGCGCACACUUCGAGGUAUGUCGUUCACCCAGGCUCUACUAAGAUGUACCAUGAUCUGAAAACCUUGUAUUGGUGGAAUAACAUGAAACGUGAUGUGGCUGAUUUUGUGUCUAACUGUUUGAACUGUCAACAAGUGAAGGUAGAACACAUGAAGCUAGGUGGUACUUCCCAAGAGAUAGCCCUGCCUUUAUGGAAGUGGGAGAUGAUAAACAUGGACUUCAUUACAGGACUUCCGAGAUCCUGAAACCAGUAUGAUUCUAUAUGGGUGAUUAUAGAUCGGUUGACAAAGUCAGCUCAGUUUUUGCCUGUGAGGACUAAUUAUUCGGGAGAGGGUUAUGCUAAGAUUUACAUUGAGGAGUUAGUUCGGUUGCAUGGGGCAUCAGUGUCCAUUAUAUCUGAUAGAGGUAUGCCAUUUUCAUCUCAGUUCUGGAGAUCUUUUCAGAAGGGUUUAGGUACACAAGUGAAUUUGAGCACAACUUUCCACCCUCAGACGGAUAGGCAAGCUGAGAGUACCAUUCAGACCCUCGAGGAUAUGUUGAGGGCAUGGGCCAUUGAUUUCAAAGGUAGUUGGGUAGAUCACCUGCCACUGGUUGAAUUCGCUUACAAUAAUAGUUACCAUGACAGCAUCAAGAUGGCUCCUUUUGAGGCUCUGUAUGGGAAGAGAUAUAGGUCUCCGAUAGGAUGGUAUGAAGUGGGUGAGACCCAGUUAUAUAGGCCUGAUCUUGUUCAUCAGGCGAUGGAGAAAGUGAAGAUCAUUAGAGAAUGACUCAAGACUGCUCAGAGUCAUCAGAAGUCCUAUGCCGAUGUUUGGAGAAGAGAACUAGAGUUUGAAGUUGGUGAUUGGGUGUUUCUCAAGGUUUCUCCUAUGAAAGGAGUUAUGCGAUUUGAAAAAAGGGGUAAAUUGAGCCCUCGCUAUAUAGGGUCAUAUCAGAUUUUGAGAAAGAUUGGUGCAGUUGCUUAUGAGCUAGAAUUUCCUGCAAGUUUGUGUUCCGUUCAUCCGGUAUUUCAUGUAUCCAUGUUAAAAAAAUACAUCGGAGAUCAUUCUUUGGUAUUGCCAGUAGAGGGUGUCAAAGUGACAAAUUCCUUGUCUUACGAAGAAAAGCCCGUUGAAAUUUUAGAUCGCCAAGUUCGAAAGCUGAGGAGUAAAGAGAUAGCCUCAGUAAAGGUACUAUGGAGGAAUCAGAAAGUCGAAGAAGCAACUUGGGAGUCAGAAGAUGACAUGAGAAUUAGAUAUCCCAAUUUGUUUGCUUCGAUGGAGGAUGAGACAGAAGGUACUAUUCCUAUCUUAUCUUUCCUAGACCUUUAUUAUUCUUGAAAUCGUGUCUGUCUGUGUCCCGCAUCAUCAUUCGAGGACGAAUGAUCCUAAGAGGGACAAUGUAACGCCCCGCAUUUCGGACUACAAUAUAGACCAUGAUUCUGAUGUGUUGAUAAAUCCCGAAGUCAUAAAAUACUAUGCCAAUACAGCAUGUUAAUUAUUUGUGUAGCAUGUGAAUCCAUUCAAGCUUGAAUUUAUACCAUAGAGGUCCUUCAACUCAAGGACGAGUUGAAACUAUUUCGAUCGACUAAGUUUUAGUAGACGUUGUAAAUUGUGUCAUCUUCCAUCGAAGAUAACUCUCUUUAUAUGUCGAAUUAGGGAGCCUACUAUGUGUCAAAUUAUAGGUCUUCGAGUUAGCCUUCCAACGGUACCAAUUUUGCUAAAAUCCGACAUCCGAGCGAGAAGUUAUGGCAUUUCAAAGUGAUACGCGUCGCCUAACCAAUCGCCCAUGGCCACUGGAAAGUAUAGGCGAUAGCCUAGGCGGCGCCUAUGUAAACAUAGGCGAUAGCCUAGGCGGCGCCCAAGUAAACAUAGGCGAUGGCCUAGGCGGCGCCUAUGUAAACAUAGGCGAUGGAAUAGACGGCGCCUAUGUAAAGAAUUCAAGUGACGUAAACACUCCGUUUUGGGGCAAAAUGGUCCUUUUCCACCCUUGCUUAGCCCUAAAACAGGAAAUUCAGUUCCAAGGACCUCAAAAUACACCUUCAUUCAUCAAAAGUGCUCAAGGAUUCUCCUUAUGGUUUCAAAAUAAAAACCCAAAUAGCUCAAGAUUCGACCGUAGGUUUUCGAAGAUAAUUACAUAUUUGGAAUCACCAAUCCGCAAGCUUCAAGAAACAUCUAUUAUCUUUGGAAAUAGAGGUUCGUGGGGUUAUCUCAAAAACCUCAUGGGCUUUAAAAAUUCAUGUUUUCAAAAUGGGGGUUUUGAAAUUACGAAUAUGAUUAUGUUUUAAAUGUUUUAUGAUAUUGAUUUGGUCUUUAGGCCUAAUUCCAAUGUGAUUUGAUAUAUUAUAUAUGGAUAUUCAUGUGUUCCAUAAUGAUGAUAGAUUGAGAGCAUGAUUUACAUGGAACCCCUCUCUUGAUAUGAUAUUGUUUUAAGUUUUCACAUGAUAUGAAUCGUUUGAAAUCAUCUUUAAAUGCAUGUCAUGAAAUGUCUUAAAAAUAUCAUGAUUUGGAUACGGUUUUUGACUUUCAAAGAGAGGGUUAUUUUGUUCAUGUUGAAAUAUGUUGCAUAUGAUGAUUGAAUGAAGAGAAUGAUAUGAUACUGAUUGACUUGCAAGUCGGGUAUGACGAUACCCUACAGAGUAUGACAUGUGAUUGAUUUGAACAAAGUUUGAAUGCAUUGAUUUUACAUGAGAACGGUGGAUGCCCGAAGAAGGCGUUUGAGUGAAAGGGCUCAUUGCUGGAAACCGUAGUUGCCGAUGCGGGUCAUAUGAUAUUUUAUCCUACAUGGGAGGAUAAUAAAAUAAUUGGGACAUCUCACAUGGGGAUUCCCUGCGGUAUACUCACAUGGGGAUGUACCGGCUCCAAAUCCUGGCGGCUACUUGGAUUGGAGGUUUGGCCGCCGAGCACUAGAGGCGGAUUCCACAUAACCGUGGAAUUACAAUUGUAGGGUAUUCCACCUAGCUCAAUCGCAUUACAUUGGUAUUAAAAACUAUUACAUUAUGCCCAUGUGUUUUCAAAUAAUUUGAUAUGAAUUGUGUGCGUGAUUACCAGACAGAUAGGGGUGUUUUCGGGCCUCAUGGUUAGGAAUACUCGUCAUGGCCAGGGCCCGGUUCGGGUCGUGACAUAUUUCUAUUGAUUUUAAUCUUGAUUACUUGCUACUGUAUCUUUUUUUUCAUAUACUCAUAUUUAUGUUUUCAUAGUGAUUACUUGCAGUGAUCAGUUGCUUCUUCCCAAAUUUCUACCAUUAAAAGGUUAGUUUUCCUUAAUUACUCAUAUUUAUAAUCUAAUAACUAUUAGUUGAGCGACCACAUAAGUUUAGAAAAACUAAUCUUCAACCGUAGUCUCAAUCCAUCAUUUAGAAAAUACGAAUUACUUGAAAUAAAUACCUUGUAUAAAUAGUCUUCUUGCUUCUAAGAAUUUUUGGGAGGAAGAAAAUGAGGAAUUUUGAAGAUUUCUGCUAGUUUAGGACGACUUUAGGGUUAUAAAACGGCUUGGGAAAGUAACAUGGUGUGAAAGGACAAGUUUGCACCUAAUUUAAUGAACUUUUACGUCGGAGAGGUAUGCUCUGUGCUGCGCACCGCAACGCGGAGGCAAACAAGUGAUCUCCUGGCUUGAGCUCCACCCUGCGCUUCCAAACGCUUAGCUGGGAUGCUUCCUUAUUAAAAUGUCCAUAACUUUUUGCUUGGAAAGAAAACUCAAAAACCUUUAAUUUGGUAGGUAAUAGGCCACCUAACUCAUUAUAUACUAGGAUUAAUGAUCAUUGGAAGUUGACCCAAGUAAAAACGUCGACUAAAACCAAUCGGUAGGAAAGUUCUCAACUCAACUUUGAGCUAAGAGAUUUUUAUGUCCUCAAUUCAUCUACAAAGAUGUUCCCAUACUAAAGAAUUGGUAUCACGUUAUCUAUAAUACCAUUGACCUCUUGCAUCUUGCAGCUUUCAGGUCAUAAUCGCAAAGGCAAACGUGAAUACAGUAGAUAUGGCUCAUACUAGUGUGGCGUCUCUUAUGAGAACAAUAGAACUCUUAACAUCCAAUUCACCAAUACAAUCUCUAACCUGUGGUCUCAGUGAAGACUUUUCUGCUCUUCAUGAAAAGAUUAGUUCCCUCGAAGUAGUUGUCAAGAACUUUGAGAAAAACAAUGUUUUGGGGGAAAUGACAGAUUUGGAAGUGCAGAUAAAAGAAGUUGCAAAUGUUGUUGAACGCACAAUUCAACCAGGAGUAACUGAAGUUGUACUGGAAGAUGAUGAAAAUCUGAGAGAAAAGGCACAAGAUAGGCUUUCUGAUAGCCUGCAACAAGCAGCAAAGGUUAUUGAUCGUAUCUGGAAAGAGUCAACAAAGAUUCAAGGUAAAGGGAACGUGAUGAAUUUUCAAUGGUUCAAGAUUUUUCUGUGCUUCAUGAUUUUUCAGUGGUUCAAUAUUUUUCAAUGGUUCAACAAAACAUCAAAGGAAUACACAAAUGUUGACAAAAUAAUGGUUGGACGUGAUGAUCAAAGGGAACGGUUGUUAAAUGAUCUGACUAUAGGCUACUCUGGUGAACCCAAAGUCAUCCCGAUUGUCAGGAUGGGAGGCAUAGGUAAAACAACCUUAGCGAAAGAGGUUUACAACGAUGCGUGCAUCCGUUCUCAUUUUGAUGUUUGUGCCUGGGCUACUGUUUCUCAACAACACAACGUAAAGGAAAUCUUGUUGAGCCUUUUGCGUUCAACAAAGGAUGACAAAGUUUUCACAAGCAGUGAGGCAGAGCUGGCAGACAUGCUAUAAAAGAGUUUAAAGGGUAAGAGAUAUUUAAUUGUAUUGGACGACAUGUGGAAAAGUGAAGCAUGGGAUGCCGUGAGACUAUGCUUUCCAAUGUGGAAAAGUGAAGAGAAUAUUGUAGACGACCCGUAACACUGAAGUAGCGCGCUAUGCUGGUACAGAGAAAUCUUUGCCAAUGAGGUUCAUGGAUCAAGAUGAGAGUUGGAACCUUUUUAAAAGUGUAGUAUUUGCAAAUGAAGCAUUACCAUCUGAGUUCGAGACUAUCGGGAAGCAGAUUGCAGAAAAAUGUCACGGGCUACCACUAACUAUUGUCGUGGUUGCGGGGCUUCUCAAAUCUAAAAGGGCAAUAGAAGAUUGGGAAAGUGUUGCCAAAGAUGUCACGUCAUUUGUCACAAAUGAUCCUGAUGAACAAUGUUCACAUAUUCUCUGGUUGAGUUUCAAUCACUUAACCAGCAAUCUAAAAGCAUGUCUUCUGUAUUUCGGAAUUUUUUCGGAAGACGCUGAGAUUCCAGUGAAGUAUUUGAUGAGAUUGUGGAUGGCUGAAGGGUUCCUGAAUUUGGAAAGAGAGGCUGAGAAUUGUUUACAAGAUCUUAUCGACAGAUGUCUAGUUCUCGUCAGCAAGAAAAGUCGAGAUGGAACGAAAAUUAGAUCAUGUAAGGUUCAUGAUCUAAUACAUGACCUGUGCUUGAGAGAAGUUCUAAGGGAAAACGUCUUUAUCAUGAACGAAAUUGUGUUUGAAAAAUCAGAUGCAAAUCAUGUUUCUUCAGAAUGCCAAUCUCUCAGUAGCCUUAGAAUGAAGCCCUUUAAGCGAGGGACUGAUGGUGAAAUUAGUGAUUCUCGCUACGAACUUUAUAGGGCCCUUCUUUCCCCUGGACAUCAUCAGUUGACAGAUGAUAACAACAACAAUCUUUUGAAAAGAACUCAUUCUAUUUUCUUUGCUUGUAGAACUUCUUCAACUUUUAUUCUCAAGUCGGAGCUUAUUCAUUUCAAAUUACUCAAAAUUUUGGACUUGGAUGGCAUAGAGAUUGAUGUUUUCCCUCUAGAGAUACUAAUCCUCAUCUGGUUGAGGUACCUAUCAUUGCUCCGCCGUAGUAAACUUGUCAUACCGACAGAAAUUUGCAGGUUAUGGAAUCUGCAGAUAUUCAUUAUUGAAAGGUCUCAUACAACUAUUCCUGAGCAAAUUUGGGGACUAACGCAAUUAAGGCAUCUUGAACUGCAAAGAUUUUAUUUGCCAAAUCCCCCAAAUGGAUGUGUUAACAAAGGGAAACACUUGGAUUUUCCAAAUAUACAAACUAUUUCUUACUUGUCUCCAUGUUGCUGCACGAAGGAGGUUAUUUUGGGGAUUCAGAAUGUUAAAAAACUAGGAAUCGGAGGCGAUGUGGAUGACUUUAAAAGUAUUCAGGAGUCUGGGCUUCUCAACAAUCUUGUCCAUCUGCAGAAACUUGAAACAUUGAGUUUAAAAUUAUUUUCGUUGGAAAGUAUAAGCAUUUCACCAGUGACCAUUCCAAGUGCAAAAGCUUUUCCAGCCACGCUCAAGAAGCUGAAGUUAAAAAGUACUUAUCUAAGCUGGUCGUACUUGGACAUCAUAGCUGAGUUGCCUAACCUUGAGGUGCUAAAGCUGAUGCGUAAUGCUUGUGAUGGCGAAGAAUGGAAUCCAAAUGUUAAUGAUCUCAGGCACUGGAAAGCCACAGAUGACAACUUUCCUGUCCUUGAGCGCCUCAUGAUAGGAAGUUGCCAUCAUUUGAAAGAGAUACCCAUUGAGUUUGCAGCUAUCACACACUACAACUGAUUGAGUUUAGAGACUGUCCUCCCGGACUUGGGGAGUCUGCUGCGCGAAUUCAACAAGAACAAGAAGACCUCGGAAACAACCCCGUGGAUGUUCGUAUCACUGAUCCUUGUAAGUAUAUAUAUAGUAUUUAUCAAGGUCACACUUUGUUUCUCAUUUACACAAAAGUUAUUUGGCUUUGCUACAUACUCUUUCACAACAAUAGCUUUCACAAAAUUUAGUUAAAAUCCUAGUUAAAUUGUUAGAGUAAAAUGGUCCUUUAAAUAUAUUUUUGAACAGUUUUGGUACUUUCUUUUAAGCUUGCUAAAUGUGAGCACAUUUGGUCUAAUUGUUACUCACUCCAUCCAUCAAUAGUUGUCCAUUAUUAUUUACUUGUCACACAGGUUAAGAAAUAGUAAAUAAAAGGAAUGGUUUUAUCAUAUUACCCUUUGAAUUUAGAGUAAAGCAUCCAGUACCCCCUACUCGAACUACGACCAAAGUUGCUACGACACACUCCGACUUCACGAGGGUUUUAUUACCUCCUAACUAAAUUUUAGCGUAUUUUUGUCAACCUUUUUAGCUGAUGCGGCACCCUUUGUCAACCUUUUUAGCUGAUAUGACACCUUUGACGUGGGCAAAAGGGUCACAAAAAUACGCUAAAAUUGUGUUGGGGUUAAUAGGACCCUUGUGAAGUAGGGUUGUGUCGUAGCAACUUUAGCCAUAGUUCGAGGGGGUACUGGAUGCUUAUCUCUUUAAAUAAAUUUAAUGCUUUGAAAAAAACUUUGGAUAGUGAAUCGUAUUUGAUGUUAAGGAUUAAAUGAAUAAACUAUCCAUUGUAUAAAUUAUAGUAAAAUGAGGUUUACAUGGAACCAAUUCUUUUACGAAAUAAUUGAAAUAUGAAGAAGCGAAACACUUUGUAUUAAUUUUAUCAAGGUUACACUCUUGUUUCUCAUUUCUACAAGUCACAUAUACAGGGAUGCUCCUCCAAGCACUUCAUAAUUACGAUUAUCACGAUACUGAAGAUUCAGAUUCAGAUGCUGAUGCUGCGGAAGGUGAUGUUAAUUAAGAUCGUUGGUCGUUUUCUGUUCGGAAUAACCUGUAAUGAAAAGGGAAACUAUAGAUUAACAAUUUGAUACUGUUAUAGACUGUUGAUGCUAGUUCAUCACACUGUGUUUUUCAUAAAUGUAACAUGUAUUACAUUCUUCGAUUGCUGUAGUUGUUGUUGUUGUUUUAUGUGGUGUUUGAAUGAGGGUCUAGCAGAAAAUACUCUUUAUCUCUCAAAAGGCGAGGGUAGAUUUGUGGACACCCACCGUUUUCAUACCCCACUUAUGAGAUCAUGGUACUGUUGUUGUUGUUUUAUAACGUGUUUGAAUUAGGAACUAGCGGAAAAUAGUCUCUCUAUCUCUCAAAAGGCGAGGGUAGAUCUACGUAUACCCUGCCAUUUUUAGACUAACUUAUGAGAUCAUGGUACUGUUGUUGUUGUUGUUUUAUGUGGUGUUUGAAUGAGGGUCUAUCGGAAAACAAUCUCUCUAUUUUUCACAAGGUGAGGGUAGAUCUACAUACACCCUGUCGUUUUUAGACUCACUUAUGAAAUCAUGGUGUUGUUGUUGUUGUUGUCGUUGUUGUUUCUGUUGUUAUUGUUUUAUGUGGUGUUUGAAUGAGGGUCUAGCGAAAAAUAGUCUCUCUAUUUCUCAAAAGGCCCACUUAUGAGAUCAUGGUACUGUUAUUAUUGUUGUUAUUGUUGUUUUAUGUGGUGUUUGAACAAGGGUCUAGCAGAAAACGGCCUUUUUAUCUCUCACAAAGCAAGGGUAGAUUUACGUACGCCCUGCCGUUUUUAGACUCACUUAUAAGAUCACGGUACUGUUGGUGGUGGUGGUGGUGUUGCUGUUGAUUUACUGUACUGUUGUCGCACAAGCAGGCUUGAAAAUCUCUCUUUCGCCUCUCCUCCCUGUCUCAAUUCUGAUUGAUUAGCUUCUUCCUUUGCGCAAGCUACAGUCUAACGAUCCCCUUGUUGUGUUACUAGCGGAAAAUAGUCUCCCGUGCUUCCUUAGUCCGUGAAGUCCUUGGAGCAUGUGCUAUAACAAGCUAGCGCGCAAUGGUUGAAAAGCCGUUGUUGCUUGCUGCUUGCAGGAUCGAAAAUCGUCAAAAACACACCUAAAGUAUCUUGAUUUUUCGAUUUUUUUACCUGAAUUAUCAGAUGCGUAAAUUUCCUACAUGAACUAUCACCACCUUCCUUUUAAGUUAAUAUGGACUAGAGGGAGUAUUAAUUAGCGAAAAAAUAAUAACUUUUAUCGAUUCAACUUUUUUACACAACAUGAAUACACAUGUGAAAAGACACACUUCAAGUUGCAAUAAAUAUCAAGUUAUGAAACUCAUAAUGUCAAAAGCACAAUGAAUUCAAUACUGAAAACUUUUGAAAUUGAACUCAUCGAGUUUAGAUUUUGAAUCUGCCUCUACCUGCCUCCAAGUCUAGCCGAGACCAGUGCAUAUCAAGUCUAGUCAUCGAACGUACUCAAAAAUCCACCAAGAAAUCCAGCACCAUUGCAUUCACCACAUAACAUGUCCUUUUUACCUCUGCAUUUAAAAAAAUAAAUAAAUAAAUAAAUCAAACAUGAGACCAACAACGAGAACAUACCCCGUGUAAUCACACAAGUGGGGUCCGGGAAUAGAGUGUAUGCAGAUCUUACCUAACAACAACAACAUACCCCAUGUAAUCCCACAAGUGGGGGGGUCCGGAUAGAGUGUAUGCAGAUCUUACCUAACAACAACAACAUACCCUGUGUAAUCCUACAAGUGGGGUCCGGAGAUAGAGUGUAUGCACAUCUUACCUAACAACACCAACAACAUACCCCUAACGAUAACAACAACAUACCCCAUGUAAUCCCACAAGUGGGAGUCUAGGGAAUAGAGUGUAUGUAGAUCUUACCUAACAACAACAUACCCCUAACGACAACAACAUACCCCGUGUAAUCCCGCAAAUGGGGUCCGGGGGAUAGAGUGCACGCAGAUCUUACCUAAAAACAACAACAUACCCGUAUAAUCCCACAAGUGGGGUCCACGGGAUAGAGUGUAUGCAAGUCUUACCUAACAACAACAUACCCCGUGUAAUCCCACAAGUGGGGUCCGGGGAUAUAGAGUAUAUGCAGAUCUUACCUAAUAACAAUAACAUACCCCGUGUAAUCCCUAUGCAGAUCUUACCUAAUAACAAUAACAUACCCCGUGUAAUCCCACAAGUGGGGUCCAGGAAUAGAGUGUAUGCAGAUCUUACCUAACAACAACAACAUACCGCGUGUAAUUCCACAAGUGGGGGUCCGGGGGAUAGAGUGUAUGUAGAUCUUACCUAACAACAACAACAUACCCCAUGUAAUCCCACAAGUGGGGGGUCCGGAUAGAGUGUAUGCAGAUCUUACCUAACAACAACAACAUACCCUGUGUAAUCCUACAAGUGGGGUCCGGGGAUAGAGUGUAUGCACAUCUUACCUAACAACACCAACAACAUACCCCUAACGAUAACAACAACAUACCCCAUGUAAUCCCACAAGUGGGAGUCCAGGGGAUAGAGUGUAUGUAGAUCUUACCUAACAACAACAUACCCCUAACGACAACAACAUACCCCGUGUAAUCCCGCAAAUGGGGUCCGGGGGUUAGAGUGUACGCAGAUCUUACCUAAAAACAACAACAUACCCGUAUAAUCCCACAAGUGGGGUCCAUGGGAUAGAGUGUAUGCAAGUCUUACCUAACAACAACAUACCCCGUGUAAUCCCACAAGUGGGGUCCGGGGAUAGAGUGUAUGCAGAUCUUACCUAAUAACAAUAACAUACCCCGUGUAAUCCCACAAGUGGGGUCCAGGAAUAGAGUGUAUGCAAAUCUUACCUAACGACAACAACAUACCCCGUGUAAUCAUAGACCCUCAGCUCAAGCGGGGUAUGGGGUAGAGUGUACGCAGACCUUACCCCUACCUUGGAAGGUAGAGAGGUUGUUCCACAUAGACCAUCAGCUCAAGGAAAAGCAUAUCGAGAAAGAAAUAAGGGAAGUGAAGAAAUCAUAACAAAAUCCUAAAAGAGCAUGAAACCAAAGGACAAUAGUGCGCUAAUCGAAGUACAAGAGACAGUAGAUAGUAACAUUAAUCAAAGGACAAGAAACUAUGGGAGAAAUACUACGACUAAGAGUACGAAACCAUAAUCACCAAAAGUACAAGUGAUAGUACAAGUACCUGCACAGCCAACAUAGUCCACCGGCUUUAAACCGUCCGUUGAAAUGAUCGACCGAGUUAACCCCAGUUCCUUUACAUUGUGAGCACGCCACUGCACCUGAGAGCGAUACAGCGUAUAAGAAACAGAAAGUUCUGGACAAAAUCAAGUUGAAAUUUAACUAUUUCAGAUCUGGUCGAUUGUAUGUAUUGACUUCAGAUGAAUCGGAAACUUGAUAUGGUAAUGAAUAUAAGCAAGAAAAAAGAAAGAUAAUAGCGAAUUUAAGUAUGCAACAUGGUAAAGAACCAGUAAGACUGCAGUAUUAGCAAACAUCUUGAAACUAGACACUUUUCACUCAAGACACAUCGUAAUUCUCACACAAAAUUGACGAAUAAUUUGAGAGACGUUCGUAAGAAAGGUGAUCUCUGAUCGAGCAGUCAACAUCAAGAGAAAUUCCUUCUUGAUGCACAUAUCAUUUCAAGAAAAAAAUCCAAACAGAACGUAAAAUAUACAGAAAUGCACAGUUACAAUAUCAAGAAAUAUUAGUCACUUGGAAUACGGAGCAGCAUGAGAGUGUUUGUCGAGAAAAGUCCGCUCAGUAAUGACAAAUCAGAAUUCAAAAUUCACCUAAAAUGCAUCAAUCACUUACCACUUCCAUCACAAUUUUGACAGACGAUGCUCCUCACUUUGGUGUCUUUAUCACUGUCAGUGGCCUAGAAAAAAGUGUAUCGUAUUAGUAUCUGCAAAAUACAGCCAACUCAAGGAAAGAGAAGCAAAUAUGCUGUAAUACUAUAAUUUUUUUGAGUGAAGAAAAUUUCUGGAGCAAACUGAAGUUUCUAUAGAACUCGAGUAAGUUCUCGUAGACCGUCAUAGUAACAGGUAGCAUUAAGCUUAGGAUUUCCAUCUGUACGAAUUACUCAAUUCGAUUUAUACGAAAAGAGCAAUGAAAAAGAAAGACACAAAGAGAUCCUCAUUGGGAAUGACAUUAUGUUGCCCUAUGUUGCUCGGACUCUUCAAAAAUGUCAUCGGGUGCGUGUCGAAUCCUUUAAAAGUAGUGCAUUUUUGAAGGAUCCAACGUGGGUGCGGCAACAAUUUUGGAGAGUCCGAGUUUGCCUGAUCCCGUUUCACAUAAAAUUGAGUGAUGAAUUUAAUAUGAUGCAGAUUCUACCACAUAUUAUGACAAACUUCCAUAAUCUUUAUUUAGCUUUUUAGCCUAGCCAAGUAUGUCACAGCAAUCAUCUCGUAUUAGUCCUUCUCGAUUACGGACCAUUUUGAGCAUCAGAAACUUCUUUUAAAGCUUCAUCGAUCCAGUCUCAAGACAAGACUGAACAUUAAGCACAGAAACUUCUCAUUCAACGAGUUUUACACGAUUCGUUAUUUACUUUUGUGAUUGUUUCUCUUCUAAAUUCCGAAUCUCCGUUCCUCAUCUAUAAACUGUUACUGUUAAUUAUUCAGCUGAAAUUUGUUGUACCAGUUUACUACGGAACUUAAAAACUUAUUCAUCACAGUUCUAGGUAGGUGUUGGACAAGCAUGCCAUAGGGGCACAUUUUCAUAAUGCAUCUACUACUUCAAUUAAUUAUAACGAACGAGCAGCACUUAACAAGAAUACGUGUAGCUAUGCUUAGUUGACGGUACCCCUCUUUUUUUUUUUCCAUUUUCUCGGUGUUGAUAACUUGCAGAAUGGAUGAAAUUGGAAAAGCAGUUCUGAAGGUUCACUCGGCCGUAUCUCAUAUAUGCAGCACUGUCCCAGAAAAAUGCCUAGCGAAUUUCGCCAAGUAUACCUACCUAAGUGUCAUAUAACUUCAGCGCUUGAGUUACGUAUGUCUAAAGGCACACUGGUUUUGCUAUGACCCUCACUGUCUAGCCGUUGGAGCACGUACACUUCUGAUAUUAUGGGUUCAAAUUUUCAUAUUUUUAGAAUUUUAGUGUGUUAAAACGUUGGGUACAAUUGAACCCGCUGAUUUUGUGUUCCAUCCACUGUUGUGUCCAGCGGCGGAGCCAGGAUUGACAUCAAGGGGGUUCACAAGUGUACAUACGAACUAACCGAAAGGGGGGUCAACAUCUACUAUAUAUACAUACAAAAAUAAUUUUAACCAUGUAUAUAUAUAGUAUAAUUUUCCGUCGAAGGGGCUUCGGAUGAACCCCCUACCUUAUAUGUAGCUCCGCCCCUGACUGUGUCUAGGCAUAAAAGUAAGCAAACGUAGCCAUUGCAUAUCUAUGUAGCACAUAAAACUGCACAUUUGCACUUAUAUUUAUCCACAGAAGCGCGAAUUUACCUUCACUUCCACAACACUUAAGUUACUCUUGGAGCUGUAGCUAACAUCUUUGAUCCAUUGAAUCUUUCUUGCACCGCUGUUCCCGUUCCCAUGAAUUAGACCUGCCAAGAAUAGAAAUCCAUAUAAACCAAGUAUCCAACCAUUCACGUGACUUUAUGGGCUAUCUUUCAAGUGUGCGAUCUCAACAGGGGCGGAGCUACACUUGGCCUAGGGGGUUCGAACCCCCUUUAGAAAAAAAUUAUACUAUUUAUACAUAGUUAAAAUUAUUUUUUAUGUAUAUACAGUAGACGCUGAACCCCUUUGAUUAGUUCAUCUGUUUACUUCUAAACCCCCUUAACAAAAAUUCUGGCUCCGCCAUUGGAUCGCAACUACAUAAAAGGUUUCCAAAAAGAUUGAAUCUUUAAAACCAAACACGUUUAUAUUCUACGAAGAUUUGCAGAACCACUAAACAUAGAGAAUUUGCCAUUAAUACAGUGAAUUUAGUUGUUUCUGAAAAGGUUCUCAAUCUUUUUUUGGUUCCCAUAGGUGUCCACAUUGGGCUCGACUAAAUUCAAAUUCGUGCCUAGAAGUCUCAUAUUGGUAAUUAAAAAAGAAAAGGAAUCUUGAAAACCAAACACAACAAAAAUGAACCAAGAAACCAUUAAAGACCAAUACAUCAACUACUCCCUCUGUUCAUUUUUACUUGUCAGAUUUGCUUCUCGAGAGCCAAACUGUUAAACUUUAACCAAUAUUUUAAGAUAAUUUACUCUCCCAUUAAUAUAAGAAGGAUUGCAACUUAAAGUAUUUUUCGUAUAGUUUUCAAACAUCUAAAUUUUAAGAGAUAAGCAUCCUGUACCUCAGCCAAAGUUGCUACGACACACUCUAACUUCACAGGAUCCUAUUACCUCCUUGAACUCAAUUUUAGCGUAUUUUUAUCACCCUUUUUGCUGACGUGGAACCUUUAUUACAUAAAAAUAGAGGUCACGUUAAAGGUGUCACGUCAGCUAAAAAGGUGUCACGUCGGCUAAAAAGAUUUGACAAAAAUACGCUAAAAUUUGGCUCUGAAGUAAUAGAACCCCGUCAAGUUGAAGUGUAUCCUAGCAAAUUUGAUUAUAGUUCGGAGUAUGGGAUGUUUUACUCAAAUUUUAAUUAUAAAAUGUUAAAUUAGUCUCCUUCAAUUUAGCUUUAAAAUCUAGUUAAAUUAACUUUAAUAAAGCAAAAUAUGACAAGUAAAAAUGAACGGAGGAAGUAAUUGAGAACAAAAAUCAUAAAUAUCCAUAAAGCAAAAAAAAAAAAAACACAAAAAUUACAACAAAGAGAAAUUGAGUAUAACCAUAUGUACCUGGUUUAUUGAAAGAGUUCAAUGAAGCUAAAGGUGUGAAACACAGAGAAUUUGCCAUUAAGACAAUUGAAUCUUUAGUUGUUUUGUGAAGUGGUUUGGGAGAAGUAAAGCAGUUGUUGAACUGCUAAAGUAAUAAUGUUGGUAAUAACAAAAACAUGCAACCGCAGGUUACUAGAUAAGGUCAGUUGUUGCUAUGAAUAUCUAAAAGAAAAUGACUCAUUUAGCCUUUAUCCUACCAAAGGCAAAAAGUAGUUGUAUAAAAUAUCUCAUUUAUUUCCGCCUUCCAAUAAUAUUUGUUUACUGUUGACUUGAUAAAUAUGAGAAAAUUUGGCUAUUAAGCCUCUUCGGAUUUUCAAUUAGCAAAAUAGUCUACUGAAAAAAUUUGGCUAUUAAGACUCUUCAAGUUUCCAAUUAGCAAAAUGAUCUACUUCUAUUUUCUCAUCUGUCAAAUUAAUAAUCGAUCUGUUCAUAUAUAGGUCGGAUCGAUGAUCGAUUUUUUCAUAUAUAGGUCGAAUCGAUAAUCGAUUUGUUUAUAUAUCGGUCGGAUAGAUAAUAAAUCUGUUUGAAAAAUGGGUCAUAUCGCAAAAAAAAAAAAAAAUUGUAGUCUAUUUAAUUAAAUAGAAGACUUGAAAAGUUCAUUUAACAAAAGAUCCCGAUAAAUAUAGCUUAAGAAAUACUAAAUUAUGGAGUUUAUCUUUUAAAUAUAUUUCAUUUUUUGGUCUUCUUGAUAAAAAUAUUUAUUUCAAUUUAGUUAUCUCAUUUAUAAAAAAAAAAUAUUAUUUCUUUCUAUAUUAUCUCUAUUAUUAAAUAUGACUAUAUAAAGUAUAUAUACUCAAAUUUAUAUUUUUAAAGUAUAAUUAAUAAGGCUAAUUUGAUAAAAUAAAUUAUUAAUAAAUAUUUUACUAAGCGAAGUGACAAAUCAAUAAGAACCCACUACUUUGAAAUGGAGGAAGUAAUAAAUGUAAUGCUUAAAAGAAUGUAUUAGAUAAUGAUAUUUAAUAAUAAUAAAAAAGAACUUUAAAACUUGUUUUUCUAAAAUAUUUGUGUGCGAUAAAUUAUUUUCAUUAAGGGUAGAAUGAUAAUAUUAAAGCUAAAUUAUUUUUAGUUAUAGUAAGAUAACAUUAUUUUUGAGACAGAUUAAAAAGAAAAAAUUUUCAUAUAAAAUACUUUCUUUGUCCAAUAAUAUUUAUCCAUUAUACUAAAAAUAUAUAUCUAACAAUAUUUGUUCAGGUUGAAAAAUUAAUGUAUAAUUUACCCUUUUGCUACACAUUUUUACGUUUUCUAUUAAAUAUUAUUCAUCACUCAAUUUAUUUUUCAAAACUAAAUUUAUUAUAAUCAAACGGUGAUAGUAAAAUUACUUCAAUUAUUUAUUUUUCUUAACAUGUGUAUCAAUAAUAGACAAAUACUAUUAAAUGAAGGAAGUAGGAUUUAAUAUCAAGGGUAAAAUAUAUUUAUUUCAGUCGUUUCUUGAUUGUGUAUAAAAUUUUUAAUAUCUUUUGUUUAUGUAAAACAUCACUUAUUUUAAAAUAAAUUGAAAUAAUAAAGACACCGCUAAUUUUGAAAUGGAAAAAAUAUUUUUCAAGAAGAUAUUUUCCUCCACACCAAAUACACUGUUAAGUAAAGACUGGGAUUCUUUAUUAAAUGAUCUUUUCAAGUCUUCUUUUUAAUUAAAUAGAUUAUAAUUUUUUAAUUUUUUUUUUAGGAAAAUGACUCAUUUUUUAAACAAAUCUAUUAUCUAUCUGACUGAUAUAUAGACGAAUCGAUUAUCGAUCCGACCUAUAUAUGAACAUGAACAGGUCGAUUAUCAAUCCGACCUAUAAAUAGACAAGUCAAUUAUCAAUCCGACAGAUCGAUUAUCGAUCUGACCUAUAUAUGAACAGGUCGAUUAUCAAUCCGACAGAAUCAAUUAUCAAUCCGACCUAUAUAUGGAUAGGUCGAUUAUCAAUCCGACAGAUGAGGAAAUAGAAGUAGGACAUUUUGCUAAUUGAAAACAUGAACAUGCUUAAUAGCCAAAUUUUCUUAGCAUGCCAUUUUGCUAAUUAGAAACUUGAAGAGAUUUAAUAGCCAAAUUUUCUCAUAAAGACAGACCCAACCCCCUUAGUUGAUUCAUCUGUUUUAACCCGUCUAAAUAUAAAGCAAGCAGUAUCAGAGCCAUUUGUACUUGAGGGGUGUUAAUCGAUACCCUUACAUCGAAAAUUUUACAUUGUGUAAUUAGGUAAAAACAGAACAUUUUGUUAUGAACAUAUAUUACAUAUGGACACUUCUUAACCUCUUCGUAAUUUUACGUCUUUAUAUUUUCACACUUUUUUAUAAAAAUUUUGACUCUACGAAGCCUAAUCCGUUCAUUUGACACCCCCUAGAAUGAACUAAUUAAAGUCAAUCUUUGCUUUUUCAGUGUUGGUCAAUUGAAAAAGUGCACUUUUUCCCAGUAACUUUUUUGCAAGUUUCUAACAGUAAUUGGAACUUGGAGGUUGUUUUAUUUGAGUCACAUGUGGGAAUAAAAUUUUUUGCACUUUCUUGUGAAGUUCAUCGAUUGAUGUAUUUUCUCAUAUUUUUUAUAAAUAGAACAUGAAAAAAGCUAAUGUAUUUAGCUAUGGAUGAUUUUUUUUUCAGAAAAUAGAAGAAGUUAUUUUCACAAGACAUUGUAGCAAAGGUAUAAUUUAUCAAUGUACAUUCUCUUUAAUAUGUUUUUUUUUUAAUUUCUUUAUGAUAAUCGAGAAAUCUCAGAAGGUCAGUUGAUACGUAGUUUAAGACUCGGUGGAUACCUAACACUCUACCAAGUUGUAGUUACAGUUCCUUUUUUAGUAUGCUUUAUCGUACUUUCUUUAGUAUUUUAUCGCGACUCUUAUUUUUGUAUUUUUUUUCCAAACUGUUUUGUUAUACUUUUACUUGAGCAGAGGGUAAAUCGGAAAUAGUCUUUGUAGCUUUUAAGGUAGGGAUAAGGUUUGUAUAUACAAUACUCGCCCUCCGGUCCUCAUUUGUGGGAUAACACUGAGUAUGUUAUUGUUGUCGUCGUCAAUCGUUCUCCACCUAAAUAUACUAAAACUAGUUUGGUUUACUACCAGAGUUCUCAUGACGUGCAUCUAACUCACACAUUGUGUGCCCCAUUUUGUCGUAUCAGUGAUUAGGUUAUUCCCAUUUUGUCGAUAUUUGUGUUGGUGGGAGGUAAGAGGUACUCAAUGGAUUGAUCGAGAUGUGCAAUCUGACCGGACACCAUGUCGGAAAAACACUUCAGCUAUCAGUAGAACAGGCUAGGAGAAAGUAGCAAGAGUUUGACAUUUUUUUUCCCUGAUACCAGGCUAGCUUGAGCGCACCUUGACUAAUUCCACGGGAUACCUGCCACCUCAAACCUCGACUAAUUCCACCGGAUCCCUGCCAGGCUAGGAGAAAGUAGCAAGAGUUCAAUGUUGUUCUUUGAUAACCAUGGUGUUCGGGCUAGCUUGUGCGCACCUCGACUAAUUCCACGGGAUACUUGCCACCUCCCACCUCGACUAACUCCACCGGAUCCCUGCCAGGCUAGGAGAAAGUACCAAGAGUUUAGAGUUCAAUGUUGAGGCAUCAUUGUAGGCAAAAUGAAGAUUCUGCAGGUUGCACUCUCUUGAAAAUCAUAUUGGGCAUCCCGGUGCAUUAAAGCUCCCGCUAUGUUCAGGGUCCGGAGAAUGGCCCACCACAAGGGCGUAUUGUACGCAGCCUUUACCUUGCAUAUUGAACACACUUUAAUAUCAGCUUUAAAAUUUUCUGCUAAAUGUAGCUGCCAAUCAAGCCCUGGUGUUACCAAGUCGAGAUGGAGGUGCCAAGACCAUGAGGUUCCAAAUUCAGCUCCCAACGAUGUAUGGACUUACGAUACAGAGACCACGAUCGACUUUCCAAGCACAUUACACAAUCUGCAAUGUAGCCGUUCGUGUAAAUAUUUCAACGUCUUCUUAAUGCUGGACACCAAAAUAUUACCUCUAACGAAAGAAAACUCACCCUACUUUUAUGCGCUUAUGAUGCUAACUUAGCACACAAGUGGGGUAUGGGGAGGGAAGAGUGUACGCAGACCUUACUGCUACCUCACGGAGGUAGAGAGGUUGUUUCCGAAAGACUUCUGGCUCAGGUUACGCAUAUCAAAGCGAUAAAAAUAGUACGUUGUUGAAGCGCUUUAUUGCACUUAAACAACUGCAUUGCAAGAUUCUGGGAAAUAAUCACCUGUUAGUAUCGAGUUUCAUAGCUAGCUUGAACUGUUUCAGCCGUAAGCUUUACCUCGAAACUCGUUAAUUCUGUUCCUGGCUUCAGAUCACCAAGUUGAUUAUAUUGCUGCAGAAAUGCUUUCACUGCCCAAACAUGUCUGCUCUUACCUUCCAACAGUGUGCCCUCGAGUUCCUCAGAUACUGUGAUUUCGUCUAUCUGCUAUCCAACUAAUGAGCUAGUAACUUACGAAAAUGUAAAGGCUCAUUAACUUGGUAGACAGAGUUACCUGGUAUUUGCGCUGGUGGGAGGUAGUGGGUACCCCAUGGAAUUAGUCGAGGUGUAAGCAAGCUUGGACAAAACAAACAAAAACGUAAAGGCUAUGUGCAGAAGCCCUAAUCACACUCUCUUUCCUCCUCUUUUGCAGACUGAAUGUAGCCUAUGUUGCUUCGACUCUUCAACAAUGUUGCCGGGUGCAUGUCGGAUCCGUUAAAAGCAGUACAGUUUUAGAGGAUUCGACAUGGGUUUGGCAACAUUGGAGAGUCCGAGCAACAUAGAAUGUAGCUCCAUGUGAAAGCAGCCACUCAUAAUAGAGGAGUACAACAACAACAACAACAUACCCAGUGAAUUCCCAUUUCCCACCAAAUGGGGUCUGGGAAGGGUAAAAUGUACGUAGUCCAUACCACUAUCUCGGAAGAAGUAGAGAGGUUGUUUCCGAUAGACCCCCGGUUCAAGACACAGAGACAGUAAAUAAGGUCGUUAUAAAACAUGAAACAAGAAACAUGAAACAAGAUGAAAUAAUAGGAAUAAGGUACCCACUCAUAAUAGAGGAGUAAUGGUGAAUUAAUGCCAUAAAGCAGAUGGAUAAAAGGAAGUAAGUAUUUAAGAGAACUUCACCUAACAACAAAUUUGACCUCAUUAAACACAAAUGUAAACCUGGAAAAGAUGCUAUUAAUGAAAGUUUAUCCUGAAACACCAACUACUAAUCAACUUUUCAUCAGGAUCAUUAAUGUAAUUUGACCUGCAUAACUUAAGGAAGAACGUCAUUCACACAGUUUCAAAGAAAUCCGUAAACAGAAAGGCAAUGGUUGGUAAGAGGAAGAAUGGUAUUAGAUGUACUUAAUGAUCAAACAAAGAGUAAAAGGAGAGAAAAAUACAGAUUAAAGAAACUUCUUCGACGAGUAAAGUAUUAUAAAUAGCCUGUGCACACAUUACAUAUGUUAUAACCAGCAAGCAAAAAGUGUGAGAAAACAUCUUGCCACUGUCUAAAAUCAUCAAUCUCUUUUCCGAUCUGCUUUACCCAACCACAAACCUAUCAGCAAAGUUAGUAUUUUUCAUAAUCCCCUCAACAUGGUAUCAGUCAGCCUUCCAAUUCACGCGAACUGAAAAAACAAGAGCUCGGCUUUGAACAACUAGUACGCCAGGUUCUCGAUCCUCAAACCAUUCUAAGCUUAACGCGGCAAAAUAAUAUGAUGAUUGACCACUAAAAUUGGUGUAGCACAACUGUUAAGAAUUUAAAGUAUUGAUGGUCCUGCCGGAGUUGUAGCUGAAGAGCAUUUAUACAUGAAUAACCUCUGUCAAUCUGUUUUUGUGCAGUGUGCAUCUGUACCGUGUUGAGUGCAACGGUUGUAGCCCACACUGCGUAAAAAUUCCCGGAUUUCCUUGGUGCUGCUAUUGCUGGCUUGCAACAAUCGCUCAUCUUCCUCGUAGAUUAGGUAAGGUGCUUCACCUUUCUUUCUCGACAAUAUCUUUGAUGCUCCCUUAAGUACAUGAUACUCCCAGCCUUGAACAUCUAUUUUUAUUAGCAGAACACGUUCCGUUUCUUGAAUAACUUCAUCAAGGGGAAUAGUUUUUACUUGAACUUCAAUCUCUUCGUUUGACUUAAAAGCCAACUUGGCACCAGUGGCCGAGACUGCACUAUUAUCGAGCCUACCAACCAACUAAGAACAUAUCAUGAAAAACAAAAAAGAAACUAUCAGUAAGGUAGCUAACUAACAAACAACAUAAUAAAUAACGCUGAAAACGAGGCAGUACUCUCUUGUUUCUUUCCUUCUUUAAUUUUUUCCUUUUCAAAUGCUAAAAGUCCAAUAACAACAACAUACCCAGUGUAGUCCGACGAGUGGUUUUGGGGAGGGUAGUGUGUACGCAGGCUAUGCUAAAAGGUCAAAAGCAACAACAUGAUAAAGGACAAUACAAGCCAGGAAUAACUCUACUCAUGAUUUCAUAUAACCGAGUCAAUUCAGACCAGUUAAUCUAUGAAUUUUAUGGCAAAAGGUCAGUUCUUUAGCUAUGUUAUGUCACCGUUGCACGAAUUCUAUCUAGCAAUUAGUUGCACUAUCAAAUUUCACAUAAUAUAUCUAGACAUCAUAACAAGUACUUCGUCUGUUUCAAUCUGUUUGUCUUCCCUUUUUAGUCCGUCUCAUAAAGCAUCUCUUUUUCCAUUUUUGACAACUCUAUACUUCUUAUUUUCCACUUGACAUGUUUAAGACUACAAGAUUUGAUGACAUUUUAGUACAUUCGACAUAUCUUUGGUUUAGUUUAACACAAAAAGAUUCAAAAGUCAUUCUUUACAUUCUGAAACUCUUUUCCAAGUUAUAACCAGACAAUCAAAUUAAAACGGAGGGAGUAUAACAAACUAAAAAGCAAACUAUAUCAACCAAAAAUAACUUCUAAACACUAAUAUAUGAACCAAAUUAUACUGAAAAAAAUACCUUAUGAAAGGUAAUAUUCCCAUUAUGAUCUGAAACAGCAGCUUCAUAAACCUCAACUAACUCCCCAACUCUAUUAAAAUAAAUCCCUUCACAAAUCUUUUGCAAAUUCUCAAAAACAGGUUCAAAGGCCAAAACUUUAAACCCCAUAACAGCAGCAGCAAAACUAGCCAUUCCUACAUUAGCACCAACGUCAAUUACAAUUCCAUUUUUACCCUUCAUUUUUUCCAAGAAUUCUUGAAUUGUCACAGAUAUAUCAGGCCUUCUAAAGGGUUUUCCUUUAAGUAUUCUUUGAAUAUUCUUAUGAGGUUUUUCAGGCAAAUUACCAAAAUCUGAAAGUGAAAAAAGAAAAGGGUAUUUUACACCUUCAACUAUAUUAGCUAUAAUAGGAUAAGCUUGUUGUGAAUUGUAACAAUUAAAGGGUGUAAUUGGAACAUUAAAGAUUGUUUUUUCAAUGGAUUUUGUGUGGGGUUGCUGAGUUUGUGAUGUGAGGUAAAGGAAAAUGAGAAGGAGAAGUGAAGUGAAGAAGAAAAGGAGGAGAUUUUUGGGUGUUAAAAUCUUGAUUUGUUGAUUUCUUCUCCAUGAAUUUGCCAUUUUUCAAGAAAUUUUUUGUGUUGUGUGAAAUGUGUGAAAGAUUGGAUCUUGAAAUUGAAGUGUGAUUUUAGCAACUUUGAACACUAAUGAAGAGGAUUUUAGUGUUGUUUUUUGCUUUGUCACUUUGUUUUUUCACAUUUUAUAUUUAAAUUUAAACAUGAGAUAUUUGAUUAAAUAAACAAAUAAAUAUUCAGUACUUCCUUGAACAAAAUUAUUACAAUGCACUCCAAAUUCAUAAAGGUUCUGUUGCUCGUGAAUUCAAUUUUAGCAUAUUUUUAUGGGAUUCUUUGUUAAAUGAUAUUUUUAAUUCUUUCUUUUUAAUUAAAUAAACUAUAAUUUUUAUUUUUAUUUUAGGAAAAUGAUCACUAUUAUCUAUCUGAUCAAUAUGAUAGAUUGAUUAUCGAUCCGAUUUAUAUAUGAACAGAUUGAUUAUCGAUCCGACUUAUAUAUGCACAGAUCGACUAUCAAUCCGAUAGAUGAGAAAAUAAAAAUAGGUCAUUUUGCUAAUUGAAAACUUGAAUAUGAUGAAUAGCCAAAUUAUCUCAAUAGGCCAUUAUGCUAAUUGGAAGCUUGAAACAGGUUUAAUAGUCAAAUUUGCUCUAUUUUUAUCACCCUUUUGUGCUAACAUGACAUUUUUAUUUUAUAAAAUGGGAUCCACGUCAAAGAUAUCACGUCAGCUAAAAAGAUUAACAAAAGAUAUCCCGUCAGCAUAAAAAAAUGAUAAAAAUAUACUCAAAUUGAGUUCAUGAAUAAUAGAACCUCGUGAAGUUGGAUUAUAUCGUAUCAAAUUUUAUCAUAGUUUAAAGCCUAAGGGUACUAAAUAGUUUACUCUAAAAUAAAUAGUCUCACUAUUGAUAAUCAAUGUAGAGAAAGUUUAAAUAGGGUUCUUACAUUAGUUAGUUUUGUGGCAAAUAGCAUAGAUUUUAACAGUUAGGAAUUAAUUGCGGCAAAUUCUGAUAUUUUAUAUAAUCAUUGAAAAUCUUGAUUUUGAAUCUAUCGAGAUGGAUAAUUAAUUCUCGAUACAUAUAGUAAAGAUACAUUUUUUCUUUGUAAAGAUACAUAAUUAACUUUCGAUAUAUUUUUUUUUUUUCUGAUUUGGGGUAUGUGGAAAUACAUAACACAUCCAAUAAAGAUAUAUUUUUUCCUUAGCUCCCGAUAUAUUUUUUCAAUUUUAGAUCUGUUAAGAUACAUAUUAGCUUCCGAUACAACUAACGAAAAUACAUAAUUAAUUUGGAUUUUUGUAAUUAUGAUAAGUUAAGGGCAAAUUUCAGAAAUAGCAUACUUAUCCCCUUAAUUAUGCGUUUUAUAACAACAGUUUUAUAAUUACAUAAUAUAACAAAUUGUAUUUUGUAUUUUUGUAAACUGUUGCUACAAAAAUACAAAUACAUAUGAUUUUUACUGCUCUUAUGAUCGAUAUGUAUUUUGUAUUUUUGCAAACUGUUGCUACAAAAAUACAAAUACAUAUGCUACAAAAUGUAAUUUGAUAAAAGUGUUGCUAUUUUUCGUAAUUUAGUACCUAAGUAUGCUACUUUAUGUAUUUUUUCCAUAAGUUAAAGGUGUAUAUUUAUGUUUUUUUUGGGUACAAAAGGUAUAUGGUCCAAGGUCCAACAAAUAUGAAAAGUUGGGCUUUAGGCCCAAAUUGGUGUUAGCCCAUUAUCCAAAAAUUCUGAAACAUGUCAUGGAUUAGCCACGUACAGAUAAGUCCAAUAAGGGAAAGUGACUAUAUGAGUAUUAAUAUUAAUUUUUUUUUUUAUAUAAUUAUAGUAUCUGAUUAGUUUAUGUGCACUUCGACUAAUUUCAUAAAAUAUCUUUGAACUCCUACUAGCAAUAGUACGGCAACUCUAUCCACCAAAAUUUUGACUGAUGAGAAUAAAUCGCAUGUUGUUUUUCUAUUUAUGUUCAAAUUUAAAUAUGAGACGUUAUAAUUUUUAUCCUACUUUAUUGACCACUAAAUCGCUUGGUGAGUCAAAAUUGAUGAAAUUAAAAAGGGUAUAUAUAAAAGUAGUUUAAUAAAAUAAUUAUUAUGGGAAAGCUUUUUCGACCUUUGAAGCAACAAUUACUUGGCAAAUAAGUCCAAGCUAUGUAAAAAUUAAACCAAUAUUCUUAUUUGCCUCCACAAUAUCCAAUCACAAUCCUCCAUAGUAUAUAAUAAUGAACCAAUAAAAAGAAAUACAUAAAAGAAAGAAAAAAAAUAAAACCACAUUGACCUAUUAGUUAAGUUAAAUAGAUAAUCAAUAUUGACCUAUUUUAGAUCGUUUCAACGUAUGACAGAUCCAUAAUUUAGAUAUUGUAAAUUUAAAUCGAGUAAAUUUUAAAAUAUAUAUUUAUACCUAUAAUUGAUUUUCGAUAUAUAUCUUUAACUAUGAGAGUUAAAAACGUGUGGUAAAUGCAUGAAAAAUAAUAGACUUUAUAAUUUUAUUUUUUUGUUUAUUUUUGAGUGAGCAUUAUAAUCCUCAUUAAAUGUUUCGUUUUUUUUCUUCAACUUAUAAUAUAAACUAUAAAUAAAGUGUUGGCUUUGCAUGCUUGGAUUGGCAAAUUCUAAUCAUAAAUCAAACUUAAUUUGCACUCCAAUUCUGACAUAAAUAUUCUUAUCUUAAAUUGUUAUAAAAAUUUUCAACUUGUCAUGUUGCUUUCUUUUCAAUCUUUUCAUACAAUGGCAAAAAUUCCAUUUAUAUAUAUCACAUAUCCAUAAAGAUCAUGUCUUAAAAAAUUUGCCAUUGUAAGUUUUAUAUAUUGAAUAAUCUCCCCUUAUUUUCCAAUAAAGAAAAUAAAAUUAGCUACAAAUUUCAUCAUUUUCCUAUCGUUAAAUAUAAUUAGCAACAGAUUUUGUUGUUUAGCUAUAUAAUUUUUUCGUCGUUAAAUCCAUUUUUUUUAAGGAGUGUUUAUUCAAAAUAUAUCUAGACUUAAGCUUUUAGAAGUAUUUAAUGAAGUCUAUUAGACUAAAUAAGCUACCUAAUUACAAGAUUAUCUUCAUUAAUCAUUACUACAAUCUGUAGUAUGCAUUUUUUUCUUUUUCUCAAGAUCUAAUGUUAUGAUUUUUUUUUUUGGCAUGGCACAGAUAAUUAUCAGUUUCCAAUGUGUUCUUCUAACACUUCAUAUACUAUGGUAAGGAUUCUUGAAUAUUGAAGCUCAUUAUCAUCCUAUUUAUUUGAUUUUAUUUUUCGGCGUAGCUCAUAAAGUUGCUGUCACAGGUUUGAGCAAAACCGUUGAGGUCCGAACCAUCCCUAGAGCAGGGGUGGAGCUAUACGUAGGAUAGGGGUUCAUCCGAACCUCCUUCGACUAAAAAUUAUACUAUAUAUAUAUACAUGGUUAAAAUUAUUUUUUACGUAUAUAUGGUAAAUGUCGAACCCCCUUCGGUUAGCUCGUAUGUUCACUUGCGAACCCCUUUAGUGAAAAUCCUAGCUCCGCCACUGCCCUAGAGUCCUGCACCAUGCAUGCAUGUAGCAUGAACUUAGUGCACCGGGCUGUCAUUUCGCUCUCUUUUAUUAAAAAAACCAUUUACAAUUUAUAUGACAAUAAUAAUAUUGAUUUUUUAUUUUUUUUGUAGAAAACUUUGGUUCUCUUGUUCAUUUUAAUUGGCUUGACAGAUUCAAGAAUAUACAGUGCAAGUAUAUUUGGAAAUGCAGAAAGUUUUAAUGUCCUGGAUUAUGGAGCUGCUGCUGAUGGCAUUACAGAUGAUUCUCAAGUAAGUCUUGUUAUAUACUUUUGUUCCUUCAUUUUCUAACUAAUCUGUAUUCGCGCUGCAUAAGGCUUAAGCGCUCCUAGUUGGUUUCCGACCUGGUGUCUGGUAGUUGCAUUGGAGCUGCCAACUAAUAAUCUAGGUUUGGUCCAUAUGACGCCUAAUGGUCUCCCACCUAGUGUUUGGUGGUUGCAUUGGAGCCGCCAGCUAAUCUAGGUUCGCUCCAUAUUAAUCCUAUUAGAGGGAGAAGCACUCUUGGUUGGUAUCGGACCCAGUGUACGAUACCUACAGUGGGCCCCCGACUAAUCCAGGUUCGCACCAUAUAAGACAUUAGAUGGGGAAGCACACCUGGUUGGUUUGCCACCUAGUGUCUGGUAGUUGCAUUGGAGGCGCCAACUAAUCUAGGUUCGCUUCAUAUUCAUCCUAUAUAUUAGAGGGAGAAGCACUCUUGGUUGGUAUCUUACUCAUUGCCCGAUACCUACAUUGGGCUCCCGACUAAUCCAGGUUCGUACCAUAUAAGACCUAUUAGAUGGGGAAGCACUCCUUGUUCGUUUCCCACCUAGUGUCCGGUAUCUUCAUUAGCGCCUCAACUAAUCCGAAUGUGUAUGCAUAAGACCUAUUAGAGGGGAGGAGCACUCUUGGUUGGUAUCUCACCCAGUGUCCGGCACCUACAUUGGGGCCCCCGACUAAUCAAGGUUCGCACCAUAUAAGACCUAUUAGAUGGGGAAGCACACCAGGUUGGUUUCCCACCUAGUGUCCAGUAGCUGCAUUAGGGCCCCAAUAAAUCCGAAUUUGCACGCAUAAGGCCUAUUAGAGGGAAAAAUUGCUCCCCUCUAGGAUCUUUUUCCAUACGCAUGGCUCAAACCAGAGACCUCUAUGUAAGGGUCGAGUGGUCUUAUCCAUCCUACCGCAACUCGUCUUGCUUGUGUUACUUAAAUAUCAAGUAUAUUUUGUUAAAGGAAUUUUUUUUUUCAGGCAUUACUUAAUGCUUGGAAUGCUGCAUGUUCAUCAUCAGCUGGAUCUGCUGAAGUGGUUAUUCCUCCAAAUAUGAUAUUUUUUCUUAGCCCUGUGAUACUCAGAGGCCCCUGCAAUUCCGAAAACAUCUAUUUUGUGGUAAAAAAUCGUUAUAUAUUCAGUGUAUAUACGUAUAUAUCAUAUUUGGAAACGAUCAGCCUAAGUGAAGUGUGUGAAUUUCUAUGGCUCUUGUAGAUAUCAGGUACACUUGUUUCACCAGGCUCACCUAGUACAUGGACCGGGCAAGACUCGAGUCAGUGGUUGGCUUUCAGAAAUGUUACUGGUCUAAUCGUCGAUGGCUCAGGAACCAUUGAUGGUCAAGGACAAAGAUGGUGGGAUCAAUCAUGUCGAUACCACCCUGAAAUGGUAUGUCACACAUAAGCUAACUUAGGUUUUUUUCCAAUAACUGUAAUGUCUGGAUCAGCUCGUACGUACCAGCACAAAUACUGUUGUUUUGUGCACUAACAUUAUUUACUUUUCAGGACGGAUGCACAAGAUUAGCUCCAACUGUAAGUGCUUAUUGACAACAUUUGAUUUUGAAUUUAACUGUGUUUGGUUGGUGAAUGAAAAAUAUUUUCCGAAGGAAUAUGUAUUGUAGAUUAAUAAUGAUAUAUAUAUUAGUAUAUCGCUUCUUCAAAAAUGCCACCAGGUGUAUGUCGGCUCUUCCAAAAAAUGACUUCUGUCAUACCAAAAACCCAUAUUGCUCAGACUUUUCAAAUAUGUCAUCCUCAGGUGUGUGUCGGGUCUUCCAAAAAUAGUGCAUUUUUGGAGUAUCUGACACAAGUGCGACGAUAUUUUUUGUGAGAGUUCUGGCAACAUGGCUAAAAAACAGACACUAUAUAUGUUUGGAACUACGGGUAAGUUCCAAACAUGUUUGGAUCGGCUGUAUGAAUCCACAUUUCUUCACUUCUUACUAUAACAACAACAACUACGGCUUAGUCCCAAACAAGUUUGGAUCGGCUAUAUGAAUCCACAUUUCUUCACUUCUUACUAUAACAACAACAACAACUACGGCUUAGUCCCAAACAAGUUUGGAUCGUCUAUAUGAAUCCUGAUUUUGUCACUUAUUCCGCAGGCCUUGAAGUUCAUUUUUUGCACUCAGAGUUCAAUCAGUAACAUGUACUUUGCAAACAGUGCACAAACUCAUAUACUUAUAGAGAGAUGCAAUGGCUUUAAAGUGGACAAUGUAAUGAUUCAAUCUCCAGGAAAUAGUCCAAAUACUGAUGGCAUUCAUAUUCAAGCUUCUCAAUAUGUGGACAUAACAAAUUCUAAAAUUAGCAGUGGUAAUAUUAACUUGUCAAUUAUUUUUAAAAUUUCUUUUAUGUAGUAUACUUUAUUGUCAUAAUACAUAAACGUGCCCUUUAACUUAGCCUCAGCUUGCGUGUAUGCCCUCCAACUUUGGAUGUGCACAUGCAGACACUUAAAUGAAAUUGAACAGUAAGUAGACACACGUCCUAUGUGGCGUCCUACAUGGCAAUUUGCCUGAGAUGCCAUGUAGGACAGCACGUAGGAUACAUAUGUCUAUUUGUUCAACUUAAUGAUAGUUUAAGUGCCUACUCGUGCACGCGCAAAGUUGGAGGGCAUAAACGCAAGCUGAGGACAAGUUAAAGAGUACGUUUAUGUAUUAUUCCUACUUUAAUUAUUACUUAUAUUUGUGAUUAACAGGAGAUGAUUGUAUUUCAAUUGGAGAUUACUCUUCUAAUGUCCAAAUAUACAACAUUCAAUGUGGACCAGGUCAUGGUAUAAGGUUGUCUCUUCAACACUACAUUUUCUUUUUUUGUUUAACUAUCUUGUAUCCACAAUUCAUUUGCCUGACUAAUUCAGAUUCGUGCCUAGUAAGCCGACUAAGGGGGUUAAGAACUUUUCACCAAGAAGAUCUCUAUUCCGGGCUCGAAAUAGAGACCUCUGGUUAAGGGCGGAGGGAUCCAAACCUAUCCCACCAUACUCUUUGGUGGUGUUCUAAUCUUCUCUAAUAAUAAUAUAAUAGAUAAGCAUCUAGUCUCCCCUCGAACUAUGGCCAAAGUUGCUACGACCCACUCCAACUUCACAUGGGUCCUAUUACCCCUGAACUCAAUUUUAGCAUAUUUUUGUCACCCUUUUGUGCUGACGUGACAUUUUUAUUACAUAAAAUGGGGCCCGCAUCAAAGGUGCCCCAUCAUCAUAAAAGAAUGACAAAAUACGCUAAAAUUGAGUUCAGGGGGUAAUAGGAAGUUGGAGUGUGUCGUAGCAAAUUUGGUCAUAAUUCAGGAGGUACUAGAUGCUUUACUCAUAAUAUAAUAAGCUAUACUGUGAUGCAAAAGAUAAUAACAAUAAGGUGACAAAAGACUAUAUGAACUCUUAAGGUUUAAAUUGGCUUGAAUAAAAUAAGUGAUCUUUGGAAGUUAAAAAGGAACAAAAUCCACUUAUGGGCUAAACCUACAUUGCUCGGACUCUCUAAAAAUAUUGACGCACCGUAGCAGAUCUGAUACACAUGCGUCAGUAUUUUUGAAGAGUUCGAGCAACAUAGUACUCUUGAACUCCGAAUUGUGUCACAUAAAUUGCGAUAGAGGGAGUAGUGUGUUUUAACUUCCUAAUACUAAUGAAGUCUUUUUAUUCUACUUGUAUUCAGUAUUGGAAGCUUAGGAAAACAUGGUAAUUCUGCUCAAGUAGAGAACAUUCAUGUGAGCAAUGCUUUCUUCCAUGGAACUACGAACGGAGCUCGUAUCAAGACAUGGCAGGUAUAUAUAUCAAUGUUAUCUGUCGAAAAUUCUGAAUUCAGUUGACCACAUAUAGUAUAAAUGCUCCACCCACCAUUGGCUAUUAACUUCGCGUGGAUGUCAUGAUGUGAAUAGGUUGGCAGAGGAUAUGUACGCGAUGUCAUAUUUGAGAAUCUUGAAUUUAACUCCGUCAAGAAUCCCAUCAUAAUCGACCAGAAUUACUGUGAUGUUCGAGGGGCUUGCAAGGAAAUGGUAAUACAAGCUUACGCGGCUUGAUAUACAGUACAUAUUCAGCUAUAUAAUUGCUCGGAUUCUUCAAAAUAUAUUGAUGUAAAAUACCUCUUGAUACCUCAGACACAACUAGUGCAUUCUAAUAUCGUAGUCCGUGUCAGAUCCUCCAAAAUACUGCAUGAUUUGAGGAUCCGACAGGGGUGCAGCAACAUUUAGAAAAGUUCGAGUAAUAUAGAUAAGAGCUUACUCGAACCUGAUGUUUACCUCGUGAUACCUCAGACACAACUAGCGCACUCCAAUAUCGUAGUCCGUGUCAGAUCUUCCAAAAAUACUGCAUGAUUUGAUGAUCCGACAGGAGUGCAGCAACAUUUAGAAGAGUUCGAAUAAUAUAGAUAAGAGCUUACUCGCACCUGAUGUGUACCUCGUGAUACCUCAGACACAACUAGUGUAAUCCAAUAUCGUAGUCCGUGUCAGAUCCUCCAAAAAUACUGCAUGAUUUGAGGAUCCGACAGGGGUGCAGCAACAUUUGGAAGAGUUCGAGUGAUAUAGAUAAGAGCUUACUCACAUCUGAUGUUUACACUAAAUCAAUAAAUGUAUGACACGUAUCUUGUGCAGGUAACUGGAGUGCAAGUCAGCAAUGUUGUUUAUCAGAACAUAGUUGGAACAUCGAGCUCGGAUAUCGCGAUAAAUUUGAACUGCAGCAUUUCAGUGCCAUGUACUGAUAUAACAAUGCAGUUCAUACAACUAACACCAGCAACAUCAGGAAGGAAAGUUAAAGCUUAUUGUAGGAAUGCUAAUGGCCAAGAAUACGGAAUCGAACCCGGUCCUUGUCUCUCAUAAGUUUAGGAUUUUACUUUGGCAUAACACAUAAACGUGUCCUUUAAUUUAACGUAGGGCUAAAACCAACAAUUCUUUGUUGUGUGCAUAACCAGAAUGAACACAUUUGUAAGUGUUGUAGCAUACUAGUUAAUGUACUUUCAAUUUUCUUUUUCUUUGGCUUUGAUUUUAAGGUUUAAGUUGUGUACUGAUAAUUUUCUAUGUUGUACCAUAGUUGAUGUCGGUUAAGUUGUGUACUGAUAAUUUUCUAUGUUGUACCAUUGUUGAUGUUGGUAAAUUAAACACAUAAUACAUAAAUAGGACCUUUAACUUGACAUCAAAUUAUGAUUAUGACAUUUAACUUUACCAGUGCACAAGUAGGCCCUUUAACUAUACAAAAACUGAACAAAAAAAUACUUCAAUCCUACCUGUCAAAAUGCGUGUAUACACUCAAAUGGCAUCUGAAAACAGUACGAUGUACGCAAAUCUACCAACAAGUUCUUUUGAGACUUUUAUGGUGUAAUUUAAUCUCCCUUUGGGCCUAAUAACAUUAAAAUGUUUUUAAUUAUCAAAUUAAUUUUUUUUGUUCAAAUUUUGCGCGUUUUAAUAGGUAGAUUGUCAAUGAAGAACGUAAUACAUUUAUAUUUAUGAAAAACAUAGUGUGAUGAACUAGCAUCAGCAGUCUAUAACAGUAUCAAAUUGUUUAUCUAUAGUUUCCCUUUUCAUUACAGGUUAUUCUGAACAGAUAACGACCAACGAUCCUAAUUAUCAUCAUCUUCCGCAGCAUCAGCAUCUGAAUCUUUAUUAUCGUCAUCUUCUGCAGCAUCAGCAUCUGAAUCUUCAUUAUCAUCAUCAUCAUCGUUAUGAUGCGAUUGGACGAGUGACACUGUAUGAUGUGACUUGAAGAAAUGAGAAACAAGAGUGUAAGCUUGAUAAAAUUAAUACCAAAUGUUUCACUUCUUGAUAUUUCAAUUAUUUCGUAAAAGAAUUGGUUCCAAGUAAACCUCAUUUUACUAGAAUUUAUACAAUGGAUAGUUUAUCCAUUUUAUCCUUAGCAUCAAAUACGAUUCAUUAUCCACUUUGUUUUACAACAACAACAAUAUACCCAGUAUAAUCGCACAAAGUGGGGUCUGGGGAGGGUAAAGUGUACGCAGUGCAUACCACUACCUUAGAUGAAGUAGAGAAGUUGUUUCCUAUAGACCCUGGCUCAUGACAGAUAACAAUAUAAUCAAACAAACAAAGAAAAAACGUAAAAGCACACAACAAAAAUGGGAUACACACCUCUAGAUAAUAAAGAAAAUAAGACACCCAUAAGGUAAAAGUAUAAACUAUCUAUUUAAAAUCAAAGAUCACCGAAGCACCACGAACAAGCAAGAUACAAACAAAAACAUUAAAUUUGUUAGAUCCAAAUGGUAAUAUGAUAAAACUAUCCCUAUCGUUUACUAUUUCUUAACCUAUGUGUCAAGUAAAUAAUGGACAACUAUUGAUGGUCGGAGUGAGUAACAAUUAGACCAAAUGUGCUCACAUUUAGCAAGCUUAAACUAAAGUACCAAAACUGCUCAAAAAUUUUGUCAAAAUUAUUGUGAAAUAGUAUCGAGCAAACCUAAAUAAUUUUUGUGUAAAUGAGAAACAAAGUGUGACCUUGAUAAAUACUCUCUAUAUAUACUUACAUGGAUCAAUGAUACGAACAUCCACGGGGUUGUUUCCGAGGUCUUCCUGUUCUUGUUGAAUUCUUAUAGCAGAUUCUCCAAGUUCGGGAAGACAAAAGUCUACCUCAAUCAGUUGUAGCGAGUGAAUAUCUGCAAACUCAAUAGGUAUCUCUUUCAAAUGAUGGCAAUAGCUAAGCAGGAGGCGCUCAAGGACAGGAAAAUUGUCAUUUGUGGCUUUCCAGUACUUGAGAUGAUUACCUUCAAUUAGCAAAAGCUUCAAUCGAUUAAAUCCCAUAACCGUUGGACACCAUUCUUCGCCAUCACAAGCAUUAAACAUCAGCUUUAGCACCUCAAGGUUAGGCAACUCAGCUAUGAUGUCCAAGUACGACCAGCUUAGAUAAGUACUUUUUAACUUCAGCUUCUUGAGCGUGGCUGGAAAAGCUUUUGCACUUGGAAUGGUCACUGGUGAAAUGCUUAUACUUUCCAACGAAAAUAAUUUUAAACUCAAUGUUUCAAGUUUCUGCAGAUGGACAAGAUUGUUGAGAAGCCCAGACUCCUGAAUACUUUUAAAGUCAUCCACAUCGCCUCCGAUUCCUAGUUUUUUAACAUUCUGAAUCCCCAAAAUAACCUCCUUCGUGCAGCAACAUGGAGACAAGUAAGAAAUAGUUUGUAUAUUUGGAAAAUCCAAGCGUCUCCCUUUGUUAACAGAUCCAUUUGGGAGAUUUGGCAAAUAAAAUCUUUGCAGUUCGAGAUGCCUUAAUUGCGCUAGUCCCCAAAUUUGCUCCGGAAUAGUUGUAUGUAACAGAAAUUCUUGUAUAUGAGACCCUUCAAUAAUGAAUAUCUGCAGAUUCCAUAACCUGCAAAUUUCUAGAGGUAUGUCAAGUUUCCAACGGCCGAGCAAUGCUAGGUACCUCAACCAGAUGAGGCUUAGUAUCUGUACAGGGAAAACGUCAAUCUCUAUGUCACCCAAGUCCAAGAUUUUGAGUAAUUUGAAAUGAGUAAGAUCCGACUUGAGAAUAAAAGUUGAAGGAGAGCUACCAGCAAAGAAAAUAGAGCGAGUUCUUUUCAAAAGAUUGUUGUUGUUAUCAUCUGUCAACUGAUGAUGUCCAGGGAAAAGAAGGGCCCUAUAAAGUUCGUAGCGAGAAUCACUAAUUUCAUCAUCAGUCGAACGCUUAAAGGGCUUCAUUCUAAGGCUACUGAGAGAUUGGCAUUCUGAAGAAACAUGAUAUGCAUCUGAUUUUUCAAACACAAUUUCGUUCAUGAUAAAGACGUUUUCCCUUAGAACUUCUCUCAAGCACAGGUCAUGUAUUAGAUCAUGAACCUUACAUGAUCUAAUUUUCGUUCCAUCUCGAUUUUUCUUGCAGACGAGGACUAGACAUCUAUCGACAAGCUCUUGCAAACACUUCUCAGCCUCUCCUUCCAAGUCACUUUCCAAAUUCAGGAACCCUUCAGCCAUCCACAAUCUCAUCAAAUACUUCACUGGAAUCUCAGCGUCUUCUGGACAAAUUCCGAAAUACAGAAGACAUGCUUUUAGAUCGCUGGUUAAGUGAUUGAAACUCAACCCGAGAAUAUGUGAACAUUGUUCAUCAGGAUCAUUUGUGACAAAUGACGUGACAUCUUUGGAAACACUUUCCCAAUCUUCUAUUACCCUUUUAGAUUUGAGAAGCCCAGCAACCACGACAAUUGUUAGUGGUAACCCGUGACAUUCAUCUGCGAUUUGCUUCCCAAUAGUCUCAAACUCAGAUGGUACUGCUUCAUUUGAAAAAGCUGCACUUUUAAAAAGGUUCCAACUCUCAUCUUGAUCCAUGAAGUCUAUCUGCGUCGAAAGAUUCUCUGUACCAGCAUGACAAGCUACUUCAUUGCUACGGGUAGUCAACAAUAUUCGACUCCCUGCAUUGUUUUCACUUGGAAAGCAUAGUCUCACAUCAUCCCACACUUCACUACUCCACAUGUCGUCCAAUACAAUUAAAUAUCUCUUACCCUUUAAACUCUUUUGUAGCAUGUCUGCCAGCUCUGCCUCACUGCCCGUGCAAAAUUUGUCACCUUUUGUCGAAUGCAAAAGGCUCAGCAAAAUUUCCUUUACAUUGUGUUUUUGAGAUACAGUAGCCCAGGCACGAACAUCAAAAUGAUAGAUAAUUGACACAUGAUUGUAAACUUCUUUUGCUAAGGUUGUUUUACCUAUGCCUCCCAUCCCGACAAUCGGGAUGACUUUGAGUUCUCCAAAGUAGCUUCUUGUCAGAUCGUCUAACAAUUGUUCCCUUUGAUCAUCACGUCCAACCAUAUUGUUCUUAACAUUCAGAAUAUCGUUUGUUGAUUCCUUUGGUACUUGUUUGCCUUUGUCUUGAAUCUUUGCCGACUCUUUCCAGACACGAUCAAUGUCCCCUGCUACGUGUUGCAGGCUUUGGCGAAACCUUCGACGUGCCUUUUUUUUCUGGCUUUUAUUUUCUCCCAGUACAGUUUCAGCUAGUCUCAGUUGAAUUGUGUAUUCAACAUCAUUUGCAGCUUCUUUUACCUCUACUUCAAAAUCCGUCAUUUCCCCAAAAACAUUGUUUUUCUCAAAGUUCUUGAGAAAUACUUCCAGGGAACUAACUUUUUCAUGAAGAGCGCAAAAUUCUUCUCUGUGAUCACAGAUUAGUGAUUGCAUUGGUGAAUUGAAUGUCAAGAGAGAUUCUAUUGUUCUCGUAAGAGAAGCCACACUUGCAUGAGCCAUAGUUACUGUAUUCCCGUUUCUGUCCUUUGCGGUUAUGACCUGAAAGCUGCAGGGUUGCAAGAGGUCAAUGGUAUUACAAAUAACGAGAUACACAGAUUUGCAUAAACUAAAUAAGAUCAGGUAAUUUAUUUGUCAUAAUCAUAGCUAUCACAGGGUAACAGUGAGUUGAGUCCCAAAUCGGUGGGAUGAGAUAUGCCUAUGGUUCAGUUCUGUAUCACAGUGGAAUCUGAUUCACUUUUGAUCGCGUAAAUGAUCAAGAAGGGAAUUAGAACUUCAGCACAGAUAUAAGAAGACAUCGAGGAGGUACAAUAAAUGAGCAUGUAAAGCAAUAAUCAUCGUCACAGACUUUUUAACUUAAUGGUUCGCGGAAAUCCACUUAAAUCUUAAUCUGCAUUCACUGAUUCUGUUGAUUCCUUAGCUUUAGCUCAUGUAAUAUGUAAAACAAUUUAACUCGCAGUAAACAAAAAAUAUUAUGGUUCAGAACCCGUCGACUAAAAUCCUGGCUCCGCCUCUGCUUAGUUAGGUUCUAUAAAAAAGUUGUCACACUAGUGUCAGAUCCUCAUAAAAUGCACAACUCUUAAAAAAUCCAAUAUGUAAUCAACGUUAUUUUUGAAGAGUUCGAGCAAUAUAAAUAUAUAUAGUACAAAGAGCUAAAUUAUACAUUGAUAAGCAACUACAAGUGUUGUUUUGCUGUAAAACUCUAAUCAAAUGAAACUAACCUUGCAAUGGCAGAUCAUACAACUUCAAAGUCACUUCAAGAAAUAUUUGAGAAAAGAAUAGAAGAAAUGACAAUAUUAUGAGUAACAAUAAACAAAUGUGUAAAGAACAAAAGAUAACAUUUGAAUGGCUGAAAUGAUACCUUGCAAAAACUUUAGAGAUAAGCAUCCAAUACCCCCUCAAACCAUGACCAAAGUUGCUACGACACACUCCAAUUUCACAGGAGUCCUAUUACCUCCGAACUCAAUUUUAGCGUAUUUUUUGUCACCCUUUUAUGCUAACGUGGCACCUUUAUUACAUUAAUGGGGCUCACAUCAAAGGUGCCACUUCAGCUAAAAAGAUUGAUAAAAGGUGUCACGUCAUCUAAAAAGGUUGACAAAAAUACGUAAAAUUUUAGUUCAGGGGGUAAUAGGAUCUAGUCAUAGUUCAAGGGGGCAUUAGAUGCUUUACUCUUAACUUUAAAAGUAGGUUCACUUAGUUCCCUUUUAAUCUAAGUUGCUCGGACUCUUCAAAAAUAUCUAUGGGUGCGUGGCAGAUCCUCCAAAAAUAGUGUAUUUUUGAAGGAUCUGACACGAGCACAGUAACAUUUUUUGAGAGUCCGAGCAACUUAGCUUUAAUAAUGGUGAACACAAGUGGUCCUUUUAUCUAUGUAGAAAGGCUGCACUUUGGGUCCUAGUAAAAAAGAAGACACUUUUUCCCUUUGGGACUUCAUGUAAUCAAACACCAAAAACUAACUUCCUCAUAGAAUGAUUUUUUUACCAUAGUUCUUGCAGUUAACUUGACCUCGGCUAGCAUUUAUGUCCUUCAACUUUAGGUAUGCAUAAGUAGACACUUGUACAAAGUUGAAUAAAUAGACACACACGUCCGACCUAUGUGCAAUCAACAUGGCAAUAAACUCUGGUCAGAUCCUCUUAACAUGCAAAAUUUAAGUGAAAGAGCUGAAGUAGUCGCGAAUGCGUGUCCUAACCUGCGUCCUCCACAACCUUAUAUCUAAGGCCAUGUCCUCGGUAAGGUGAAAUUAUGUCAUGUACUGAUUGAUUUCAAUACAAUUAAGUUGUGACACCCUGAUUUCCUUGAGCCUGCCUUAGAGGGAACUUGAAGCAUAUCAUGUUAAAAUGGCCAUGUGGGCAUAUUGUUUUAAACAAGUUGGAAAGAUAAUUUGAUAAGCCAAUGAUUUUUUUCAUGUUUCAGAAUACGGUUAAAAAACAUGUUAACUAAUCAAUUAUGGUCGAUUGGAUCGGAUUUUUUUUCUUUUCUUUCUGUAGCAUCUCGACGUCACAUGAGCGUGAAGGGUGUUUAAGAAUCAAUCUUCAUUUUAGAGAUAAGCAUCUAGUACCCUGGAACUAUGGACAAAGUUGCUACGACACACUCCAACUUUACAGGGGUCCUAUUACCUUCCUGAACUUAAUUUUAACGUACUUUUGUCAUUAUAUAAAUUGGGGCCCACGUAAGCUAAAAAGGUUGACAAAAAUAGGAUAAAAUUUAGUUCCGGGAGGUAAUAUGGACUCCAUGUAGUUAGAGUGUGUCAUAGAAAAUUUGGUUAUAGUUCAUGGGGGGCGAGGGUGGGGGUGUACUAGAUGCUUUAAACACCACAUACAACAACAUAAAACGGUAGGACGUAUGCAGAUCUACCUUCGCCUUGUGAUGGUUUAAGUGUGUUUCUCACACUUUAGGUUUGUUUCUGAGUUUUAGUAUGAAACUAAAAAAAAAAAAGGGUAAUAAUUUCAGUGUGUUUUUGACACUUAAUACUUUUUGCAAAGCAAUAAGCAUCUAGUACCCCUCGAAUUAUAAUAGCCAAAGUUGCUACGACAAACUUCAAUUUCACAUUGGUCCUAUUACCUCUGAACUUAAUUUCAGUGAAUUUUUAUCACCUUUUUAUGCUGACAUGCCAUCUUUAUUACAUAAAAAGGAACUCAUGUCAGAAAUGUUACGCCAGCUAAAAAGGUGUCACACCAGUUAAAAUGGGUGACAAAAAUACAUUAAAAUUGAAUUUAGGGGAUAAUUGAAUCCUUCUAAAGUUGAAGUAUAUUAUAGCAAAUUUUAUUAUAAUUCAGGUGGGUAUCGGAUGCUUUACUCUUUUGCAAAUUAAAGAUAGUCUUGAUAAUUGAGUCAUAUUCACUUUAUGAGUCAAAAAGAUUUCCUUUUUCUUGAAAAAAACAGAAAGAAACUAUUUGGCUCCUAAGCUUAAGAUUUGUUUUG
Molecule: long non-coding RNA, 61650 nt
Filed under: Capsicum annuum
Lineage: Eukaryota; Viridiplantae; Streptophyta; Magnoliopsida; Solanales; Solanaceae
Description: long non-coding RNA (CANN_LNC013355)
Source: RNAcentral